AGACUCAUUAUGGAACACUUUCAUGAGUAUUUGGAUACUGAACAACCUUUUUGGGCAACUGAAGUCUACAUAUGAAACAUAAAAAAAUUCAAAGUGUAUAGGGUGCUCAAUGAGAAGCUACACAGGUCUAUCCUCUGUCUUUGCAUGGCCGUGUGUGCAUCCUAAUUGCAUCAAUCAACUAUCCAUGAAAUCGUGUACCUGUUUGAAUGUAAGCUGUUUGGAAGAGACUACAUUAGUUUCAGUUAAUUUGGUGUUUCUUUCCAUAUAAUUCUUCUUUCCUUUUUCCUUUUGCCACAACUUCAGUCCAUAUAAUCCAGUGUUUUGCAUUGAUGAUACGGGUGGCAAAUUUAAUCCUUGAGAAGGACACAAAUGAUUUGACCAGUUUGAUGCGUAUCCAUCCAUUAGGCUGAAGGUUUCUCUACUUUGCUUAUUGAACCAAGAUUUCCAUGUAAGGUAUGCCUAUGACACCGAAAUAACAACUUUUCCACAGCAUAAGUUUCUAUGUUUGUAUCAUAAUAUCGCAUAAGUUAUGAAGUAAACGUAACACCUCGGAUUUCGUGCCCAUGAAUAUUCAGUAUGUAGCAUAGAAAACCAGAUUGAAAUUUAAGUUCCAGGUUCCCACGGAAUGGUUCAUGAGUUGUGAACCAGGCUUGUGGAACCACUAGCUCGUGGAAUCCAUCCUAGUCCUCUAGGUUUGUCACACCCCGAGCUUAGACCUUGGGCGGAACCGGCACUCGGUAUCAUUAUAGGCCCGAGGGCGUACCCAUAACAUGACAUUAGAUAUGAGCAUACAUCUAGACAUGAGCGGAAACAUUAGUAUAAACACAUUUGAAGAGACAAGUCUUGUAAAAGAAACACUUGGCAUAAAUGUAAAUCAUAGUACUAAAAUCACUGACAAAGGACACGAAGGUCCAAAAUGAAGCAUAACUAACUGUCUAUAUAUCUAUGAAACAUCUAGAUAUAACUGAGUAAUGUCAAAUGGGAGGUGCCCAUUGAAUUCUGUUCAUGAGUUGCAGCUCAAAUAAAUUCUCACUGAUUGUUUUUAUGGAUUCAACUAGGAGGUUGCUGUUGUACAAAAACAAAUUGCAUGUGCCACCUCACUCUCGUGCUAGCCAAGUAUUAAACUUGGGUCGAAGUAUGCUCAAGAACUAUUGUAGCAGUAUCCGCUGCGAAGGACCUAGGACUUGAAUGGAUUGACCAGUUGGAGGGACAUCUGUCCAUUAGGUUGAAGGAUUCUCUAUUCUGCUUAUUGAACCAACCUUUCCAUGUAAGCUUCUUCUAAAAUUGUUAGUCUCCUACAUUCCUUGUUUUUUUCCUUAUUGUUUUUAUUGCUCACUUACUUCUAUAAAGUUAGUCUGAUGCAAUAUAUCUCAAAUUAUUCAAAUGUUUUGUUUGUUUUGCACGAGUAUCCUUCAAUAAAGAGUUUAUCACUUAAUCCCCGAAUGUAGUAUUCUUCAUUACAAAGUAUAAUGGAAGUUAUUAAGUGGUAUGGUUCUUGAAUAAGAUAACUGAUCAUUCUCUUCAAGUACAGAGAAGUAAUAGCUUGUCAUAACAGGUCUAUUACAGUUUUAUCUUGCGUAAGAGGAGGUGGACCAUUACACGGAAAGCCACUAACGUAGGCUUUGAUGCAAGACAGAGUUCCUUUUGAACCGAAAUGUGACUUCUACUGAUAGUAGAAGCUUCUCCAGUUUUUGUUGGCCGUCUUCAACAGUAUUUCCUGUUUAAUUUUCAAGGGUCAGAUUGGAACAUUUCGCUUCAGUGAUGACUGUGGUUGCACGAAGCUUGAAAGUUCAAGGUAAGUUAGUUUUUGUCCAUAAAAGAUAGCAAAUGGUGUCAAUACUUUUUUCUCUGGAAUGGUUUUCUUUUUCCUCUAAAUGCUGUUUUUAAAUCAUCUCACUUAUCUAUAUCUCGUUUACUUUUCUUAGUAUAUUGAAAACUCUCAAGGAACUAUUUCCAUGUCCAUAUAUGGUAGAAAUGUGUAAAACUUUCUUAAUAGGCUCAUAAAAGAAUAACUUUUCUGCAACGCUGGUUUUAUUUUCAUGCUUUAGACAGUAGAACUUUUAUGAAUAUAUGACACACUUGUCAUUGCUUUCACUUCACAGGACAAUUUCUCCGUUCAUUAAACUUUCGUCAUUGAAGGACUUCAACAGAGAUAGUUGUCAUGAAUCAUUUAGCAAAGAAUGCCCCAUUGGCUCUUAAAAUGUCCUUAGCAACAUCUGUUCAUCUUAACAGGUCUUGCUUUCUCCUUUUUUUAGUGGUCACUUGUAAUGAUCUGCUUCUCCAUUUUCCCAAGGAGGAAACGUGUGCCAAAACAGACUUUUUAACAUUUCCUGGAUGAUUUCAGAUUCAUGUUUGAAACACCAGCAUGGACCUCGUCGAAAUGCUACUUAUGUAAUUUAGACUCUCAGGAAGUUUGCUUCAAAAUAGUUAUUACUAUAUAAACAUUACCCUUUUGUUUUACUUAUUUACUAUUUCUUAAUAUUUAAGUAUUUUAGACGAAGAAAAGUUCAUAUAACUUGUAAUAAUGUCAGUUGAAGUUUGUAUUAAUUUAAUUUUUAUUAUUUAUUUAAUAGCUAAUUUUAUGAGAUAAAUAUUUUCAUUAUUGCAAAUAUUUAUUUAUAUUUGGGUAAGUAUUUGUAUUUAAAUGAAAGUAUUAUUUAUGCCACAAAUGUAUUAUCAGGUUAGCGAGAUCUUCUAACUUCAAAAUGUAUUAUUUUAAAAUGUUUCGAGUUUUUUUUUUUUUAAAAAAACUCACAACAGAUGUGAAAAUAUGUGAAUAUAUAAAAUAUAGUUGAUCUCUUCACAAGUUCAAAUGACAUCUAAAGAAUUUAACGUAGAAUACACAUGCAAAGCACAUCUGGUUAGAUGACAACAAAAAUACAAAACAAAUAUCGUCUAUAAGGUAAUAUUAGUGAGAUAAGACUAAUUACAUAAUUGAACCUCAUCAAAUUGAAAUAAAUCUAUGCAUAAUUGCAUUUAACUAAUAAAAGUUUUCAUUGAUCAUCUUCAUAAAUUUGCGUGAAGAAAAGAUAUAUAUGACGAUCCACAUUGAACAUUCACAAAAGAAUCUGCAAUAUUAUUUUUUACUAAGCUUAUUAUUCAAAUCUUAAUUUGCUUAAAUACGCAAUACUAUUUACUAUAACACAUAUUUUUGAAAUUGGUAAUCACGUGCAAUGCAUGUGUCAGAAAACUAGUAUAUAUAUAACAUGAGGAAGCAAUAGUUAUUCAUAGCAUGAAAAAAUGUAUCAAAUAAGAUAAUUAAUACACUGUAAGAUGCAUGAUCUUGUGCAUGAUUUGGCUGGAGAUAUUUUAAAGUCUAAACUAUUUGAUCAAAAGAGUGUAGGAGGAGAAAAUCUUUCUCAAGUCCGAUACUUUGGAUGGGACUCACCAAGUGAUAAAAUAGAUAAGAUAAACGAGCAUGGACGUUUGUGCACAUUUUUCUGUAAAAGAAAUAUAUCUGAAGAUAUGCUGUUGAGCUUUCAGUUCUUGAGAGUUAUAAAUUUGUCCAGGUCAGGCAUUGAGGUGUUGUCAGCCAAAAUCGGCAAGCUAAUAUACUUGAGAUAUCUUGAUCUCUCCAGUACUGAGAUCAAAGACUUGCCCAACUCCGUUUGCAAGCUCUACAAUUUGCAAACAUUUAGAGUCAAUGGCUGUUCUUCACUGAGGAAGCUUCCGGAAGAAAUGGCAAAUAUGAAAAGUUUGAGACACAUAUAUUACCAAUCAGAAAUUGAUUAUCAGUUUCAGAUGCCACUUAAUAUGGGGAAAUUGAUCAGUCUUCAGACGCUACAAUUUUUCUACGUAGGUGUAGAGAAAGGUCGUCAAAUAGAAGAAUUAGGUCGUUUGAAAAACCUUAGAGGUGAAUUAACAAUCAAAUGUCUACAAUUAGUCGGCAAUAAAGAAGAGGCUCAAACAGCAUAUUUACAGGAGAAACCAAAUAUCUACAAGCUGGUGUAUUUAUGGUCCCAUGAUGAAUCAGAAGGCUGUGAGAUCAAUGAUGAGCAUGUGUUGUAUGGUCUUCAACCACAUCCUAACUUGAAAACCUUAGUAGUGGAGAACUAUUGGGGGACUAUAUUUCCUUCAUGGUUCAGUGAAGAAUUGCUGCCAAAUUUGGUCAUGUUGAAAUUAAGUGGUUGCAAGAGGUGCAAAGAUAUUCCAUCGCUUGGUCAACUGAAGUUCCUUAGGCAUCUUGAGAUGAUUGGAUUCAUUGAAUUGGAAUGCAUUGGACCUACAUUUUAUGGUGUUGAUAAUGGAUCAAGCAGCAAUAAUGGCAAUAUCCAAGUGUUCCCGUCAUUGAAAGAACUAGUAUUGAAGGAUAUGCAUAGGCUUAUAGAGUGGAAGGGAGAUGAAGUUGGAGUAAGACUGUUUCCUGGGCUUGAGAGGUUGACGAUUACAGAGUGUCCACUGUUAAAAAGUGCUCCAACUCAAUUGGAAACCCUGCAUGAAUUAGAAAUUGAAAGAGUUGACAGUGAAAUGCCAUUGUUGAACUUGUGCAGCAACUUAACAUGUCUUGUGGAUCUUUCUGUCAGUGACGUGAAAGAGCUCACUUGUCUACCUGAUGAGAUGCUACGCAACAAUGCUUCUCUUCAACGCCUAUGUAUCUCAGCCUGCAGAGAGUUUCAUGAAUUACCACAGAGCUUGUACAAUCUCCAUUCCCUUAAGAGCUUAGGAAUAGCCUUGUGCCCCAAUUUCAGUUCUUUUCCGGUUCCCAGUGGAGAGAAUUAUUUAUCUUCCCUCCAAAGGCUUCAGUUACUUUAUUGUGAUGGAUUGACCAGUUUACCAAAUGGAAUGCUAGAACAAUGUCGGUCUCUAAAGAUUUUGAGGGUCAGCAACUGUAAGAACUUGGUUUCCUUCCCUUUACAUGUAUGGGAAAUGCCUUCACUUUCCAUUUUGGAUAUGUCAGAUUGUCCCAAAUUGAUUAGUCUACCCACAGGAGGCCUUCACCGUCUCACUGGGUUACGGCAUUUGAAAAUUGGUCCUUUCUCAGAGAUGGUGGAUUUUGAGGCAUUCCAAUUGUUUUUUAAUGGCAUUCAGCAGCUGUUGUUCCUUCGUACAUUGAGGGUGUACGGACAUGGGCACUGGGAUUCUCUGCCCUAUCAGCUUAUGCAACUCUCUUCUCUAAUUGAGCUCGAAUUAAGUGAUUUCAGUAUCGAGGAUCUUCCUCAUAGUCUUUGCAAUCUUACUUCUCUUGAAACAUUACAUCUAGAGGGGUGCAAACGGCUACAACAUGUGGACUUCAGAGGUGCCAUGCCCAAAUUACAUUAUCUUGAGAUCUAUUGUUGUCCAUUGUUAGAAUCUCUGUCGGAUGGACUCAGCAACCUUGUUUGUUUGGAAACGUUAAUUUUUUGGAACUGCGAAAUACUAGAGCGUCUGCCAUCCAGAGAUGUCAUGCAAAGCCUCACGAAAUUACAGUACCUGGAAAUUAAAGACUGCCCACAGUUAGAAGAAAGUUGCACCAAUUGGAGUAGCCCAAACUCCCAGUGGUCCAACAUUUCCCAUAUUCCAAAAAUUAAAGUAGGCUGGAGGAUAAUCCAGGAUAGACGUAAGUCUCUGUUUCUCUUUCACUUUCUGAGUCCAUUUUUUAAAUAUUAUUUUCUACGAGUUCCAGAAAAAAAGCUUUGUAUGUGAUUUUUUUUUUCCUGCAACAUUUUGACGUUAAAAAAUGCAAAAUUAACAAUCAAGUGCAUCUGUGCUAUGCUUUCAACAUUCUGCGUGUCCACUUGAACCGAAUUGUUCUUCUUCUAAUUCUUCAAGUAUGGUAUAUCUUGCUAUGCUUUAAUCAUGUAAUUUAUGUUUUUUUUUCCUUAUAGGUUACUAGUUUCAAGGUCAUGCACUCAUGCUAGAACGUCGCUGUGGCAAAUCAAGCUAAAUCCCAUGAGCGGCAGGCAAUUACGUUAGGUAAAUUUUCAUUUAGAAUUUAUAGGCACUUUGUAAUCUACUUAUUUUUUGGGAACCAAUUUUCGGAGGUCUAUGCUGAUGAAUACAAUAUUACCUUUCCUAAAAGAAAAGUUUAAUCAUGAAAAAAUUAUGUUUCUUCUCAUAGGUUACUAGGUGAAUAAGUAAUUUAUUAUUUACUUAUUGGUGAAACGCUAGAGGUAACAGAACCAUUUCUUUCAGAAAUCCACUUACAUAAGCUUUGAUGCAAGACAUAUUUCCUUUUGGUCCGAAAUGUGACUUGUACUGAUGGUAGAAGCUUCUUCAUUUUUUGUUGACCGUCUUCAACAGUAUUUCCUUUUAAUUUUCAGGGGACAGAUAGGAACAUUUCGCUUCAGUGACUGUGGUUGCAUGAAGCUUGAAAGUUCAAGGUAAGUGAAUUUUUUGUCCAUAAAGAUAGCAAAUGGUGUCAAUACUUUUUUCUCUGGAAUGGAUUUUCUUUUUCCUCUAAAUGUUGUUUUUAAAUCAUCUCACUUAUCUAAAAUCUCGUUUACUUUUCUUAGUAUAUUGAAAACUCUCAAGGAACUAUUUCCAUGUCCACAUAUGGUAGAAAUCUAUAUAAGUUUGUUAAUAGGCUCAUAAAAGAAUAAUCUUUUCUGCAACGCUGGUUUUAUUUUCAUGCUUUAGACAGUAGAACUUUUAUGAAUAUAUGACACACUUCUCAUUACUUUCACUUCACAGGCCAAUUUCUCCGUUCAUUAAAGCUUCCGUGAAUGAAGGACUUCAACAAAGAUAGUUGUCAUGAAUCUUAUAGCAAAGAGUGUCCCAUUAGCAGUAUCUGUUCAUCUUAAACAGGUUUGGCUUUCUCUUUUUUUUAGUGGUUACUUGUAAUGAUCGAUCUGCUUCUCUAUUCUUCCAAGGAGGAAACAUGUGCCAAAACUGACUUUUUACCAUUUCCCGUGUUCCAGAUUCAUGUUUGAAAUACCAUCAUGGACCUCGUCGAAAUGCUACUUGUGUUAGAUGUGUUUCAAUGUCAUAAUUGGCAAGGGAAAUUGCAUUCCGUAAACUCGUUUGCAUUUGGCUGAAUUGGAUUGGAGAUAUCAUUUCCUUGAAUGUACGAAAUCCCAGAAAAGUGAAAUUAGUUGAGCUUGAUGUUGGUCCAAUUCUAAACUAAAUUAACUGGCACUGUCGAAAGAGCAACUUAUGUCUUGUGAUUUUUAUUUUACUGGUAUGUGAGACGUGCAUUACACGUUUAUCCCAAAAUACUUUAUACAAAUUUUGUAUUGUAAAUAAUAAAUUUAAAUGACACAUAUAUUAUUGAAUUUUCUAUGUGUCAUAAAAUAAAAAUCAAAGCAUACAAAAUAAAAGUAACCACUCAUAAAUUGAGGUUAGAAAAUCUUGCAAAUUUGAUGCUACAUAGCACAUAUAUAGUAUUUUAAUUUAAAGAUAAAUACAUAUUAUAAUAGUAAAAGUAUUUAAAUCGUGAAAUUAACUAUUAUGCAUGAAAAAUAAAAACUAAAUCGAUACAUAUAUAUUGAAUUGCAUCUUCUUCUUUUUUUACCAUAAUUUCAAUAUUAACGCUUUCCCUCUUCUUCUUUUUUUUCUUUUGAAAUGAUUUUUUUAGGAAGCCUAGGAUCAUCCAUUAACUGUUGUCUCCGAUGAUGACAGGAGUCUUCUGAACAAAAUUGUUGAGUUCAAUUUGAUUAGUUUAAUUUCCGUGUUUAAUUAGUUGGAUCAUAACAAACCAUCAGUUGAUAGUAGAGUGGUGGACACCCAGAGAAGACCAAUUUUGAUUGGCACUGGGUUUGUAUGCUAAGGCUUCCCCUCCAGCCCUAAAAUAAUGAAACCACCAAGAACCAUAUGAGUCACUACACCUAUUAGUAUAAAUAUAUACAUGUCCGCUUCUUUUUUCCUUCCACAUAUUCCUCAUUUGCAUCUUAAUUUUUUUAGUUAUUAUUGAAGAUUUUUGUUUGUGCUUAUGAGUUUCAUGUUAUAUUUUUCUUUUUGGAAAAGGGCCUAAAAUACCCUUGAACUAUUGAAAAUGGUACAAAAUUACCCUCCAUCAACCUAUUGGCUUCCAAAUUAUUUUCUUUUCCUGGUUAAGUUUGAUACUAAAAUUAAAAUUCAUAAAAUAAAUUCAUUUUUUCAUUAAGUUGUAUUAAUUUAAUAGGAUAGUGACUUAAAAUUUUAUUUUUUAGAGGUCAAGAAAUUGAGUUAUUUUUUAUUGAACCACUUUCAUUUACUAUCUUGAAUAUUUUAGUAGCUUUAAAGAAAUUAUUUUAAUAAGUAACGUUCUAUCACUCUUAUAACAUGUAAAAAUUAAAAUUGAAUUUAAACCCACAUAAAAUCACAUAUACCCGCUGUAGACACCCAAUUUUGACCCUCCCCGAUAAUAAUUAUUUCACGAGCUUCUUAAUUCCCCAAACGAUUUAGAAUAAUUAGUUUAUAAAAUUCAAAUAAUUUUCAAGUCAUUUUAAGUAGUUUUGUCAUUUUUAUAAUUUUAAAUAAUAAAUAUGAUAUUUUAUAUUAUUAUGUGUCUAAUUAGUAUAUUUUAUGAAUGUUCGAAAAUUGUCUCUAAAGGAUUUUAGUUUCAUUUAAAUAUUUGGUUAUUUAGUUUAAAUUAAUUAAUAGCUUAUAUUUUGAGUUAAUUAGUUUAUAAUUCAGUUAAUUAUUAUAUAAUUAUGUGUCUAAUUAGUAUAUUUUAUGAAUGUUCGAAAAUAGUCGACAAAAAGUAUUUUUGUUUAAAUAAAAUAUUUGGUUAAUUAGUUUAGUUACAUAAUAUUUUAUAUUUUAAAUUAUUUGGUUUAUAAUUAAGUCAAUUAUUUUAUUUUGCUGAAAUUAAGAAGCUUAUUGAUUAAUCUAUAUUAAUUCAUCUUGCUUAAUUACUAGUCGAACUUAUCCUAGUCAACUAAGUUUGACUACAUUUGGCUUUAAUUUAAAUUCAUGUAGCCAAAGUUUAAAUCCAAUUCUAGCUUUAUCAAUUUUUAAAGGACCAAAUUUUGGUCCUUUUCUCAAAUUUGACCAAAAUCAUGGCCCAACAGCCCAUAUCCAAACAAUACGUACAUCAAACAACCAAACCGACCCCACCCUUUUUUCUUUUUUCCAGCAAUUCCCAACUACCUAGGCCCACCAUUUUAAUUCCUCCAACAAUACUAAAAUAAUAACAACAUACACCAAACCGGCCCCCAUCUGCAUCGUUCUUCUUCUUCGCAGAAACGAACAACAGCCCAAAAACGAACAGCAGCCCAGAACGAGCAGCAGCCCACCGCGACAGCCAGCGAAUCAAAUCGACCCGGAACCGGCAGUCCAAAGGCGUUAACACAUCUCCCUCACAUCCCUCUCCGUGGUACGAUUUGAGCAGAGAAAAGCAGCACGCGCUCCGUCCUCCUUUCCCCUUUCGGAAUGAGUCAAGACUUCAAGGGAAAGGGUGUUUGUCCGAAAUGGUGAAAGUUUGGAGUUUGAAUUUCGAAUUUGGGGCCCUUGUUUCUACCCGGUUUUGGUCCUUUUCCCCCCAUUUCCGAACCCGAUUUUUCCUUCUAUAUAGGUUGUUUUGUUGUUCACGAAAGAGGGGAUAUUUUUUGGAGUUGAAAAUUUUUGUGUCAAGGAAAUAUUGAAAAAAGUUUAGAAGAAAAACAGAGAAAAAAGGCUAGACGAAAAUGGGGAAAAUUGAAAGAAAAAAUUGAAAAGGUUUGGGAAAAAUGGUCAAAAGAUAUAUAGAAAGGGGAAUAGAAAUAUAGUUUACACCAUAGUUUAUUUCGAGUAUAGCAAAUAGGCACGAAGGAGUUUCUAGCUUGUUCAUCGUUAGCCGGAGCUUGUCGUAGUUCCGUCAUUGGUAGAAGUCGUUGCUCCUCCGCUUGUUGGUUCUAGUCGCUGCCCGCCAAAAGUCUCUUGGACUCUUACUUCUCGUAGUUGCAUUUCAAGUUGGGCCAUGAAGGCCCAAAAUCCUUUCUUUUCAAGUCCAUCUUUAUCAGAUUGAUAUGCCAGACACCGGCGAACAGGUCAUUUUGGAAGCUGAACAUGUCCUCGAAAGUCAACGCAUUGGGACCAUAGCUGAUACAUAAUGAUAUACAGCAAUAUACACCAAGUGUAUAUGCUGUAUAUAUGGCAGAAUGGGGCCCAAAAGCCCAUCUCUUUAUCUUAAUUUGUAUUUUGUUAUUUUGGGCCUAAGCCUUUAUCAUUCCGAUUAUUAUUAUUCUGUUAGUUCUCAGGACAGGUAAAAGAAUUGGGCCUAAGGCCCAAAGAUAAAAUAUAUUUCUUUAUAUUAGACUAGGACAGGUGCGGGUGACUCAAGUAGGCCAAAGGGCCCAAAACGAAAAUAGGCCCAAGUAUUGGUCCAGGCGGACAGAAAAACCAAACUUGGGCCCAGACCUCUUUCCCUCUUUGUUUUAUUAUGUUUACUUAUUUAUUAGUAUUUGUCGUUAAUCUUAGGGUCGAAAAGUUCAAAUCCCCGAGAGACGCUCAUUUCGUUUUAACAAUGUAACUAAACUGGUCAUCUCUUAACAAGACUUAAACAAACAAUUUUGUAAGAUAGUCCACUUAGAUAAUAUUUAAAUAUUUCCCUUUUUUCCCCUUUAAAAUAGUUCUAAUUACAAAACAAAUCAAUUUUGCAAUUUAAGUUAAAGUUAAAUCUUUUCAGCCGAGUAAAUUAAUUGUCGGAUAACCGCAUUAGCGGAUAUUCUAGGUGCCUUAAAAACCUUCCUAGAAUAUUAAUAAGAACCCCCGAACCCCCUUAAGUAUUUUCAAUUGAUGCCCUGUUUUAAUCUAUUGAAAAACAAUUUUCUUGAUUUUUCUUAAAAAUUAAGUGGCGACUCUUAAACCAGUCAAAUAAUAUUUUCCUAAUGAAACAGAAUGGCGACUUCCACUGGGAAUUUGAAUGGUUCUAACCUUAAGAUUCAUUUAUUUGUCUAUGUGAUUUAACUGUCUACUUGUUUUAUUUAUCGUAUAUAUUGAACUGUUGCAUUCAUGGCAUGACAUAUUUCGUCAAAUGAUAAUUAUUUUAAUUUCCAUCUAAAGGACGAUUAUGCGGGCCGUAGUCGUUCGUUAACCAAAUUAUUCUCGGGGCACCCUGACGAAUGUAGUUGGCUACUGGAUAGUCAACGGUCGUUAACUGUCCCAGCCCAAGUUGUCCGUUUGGGUCACCUAUCCAUUAUAAACGAAGCCCACUCUUAGUCAAGACUAGCGUAGAGCCAAACUCAGCUAGCGCAUCAAACUAAGAUGACCCAACACCCAAGGUGUGUUAGGCCCAUUAGAGAGACCACCUUGAGUUCAAAACGGCCCACGGCCUAAAUGAACGAUCAUAUUUAUGUGUUUAAAUUUGAAAGAUGUAUACGUUGUUUGACAAACCAUUGUCUCUUAGGGUAGAGAGCUUAAUAAUUUGUUCGAGUCGAAGAAGGAUCAAAUUACUAGUCCAUCCAAAGGCAUUGACACUCGGAGAUGACAAGAAAUCAAUAAAGAAGAGGGACCUCACAUGGAAGAAUAGUUUAGGAUUGUACCCCUCUGUGGGAUUAAUUAUUUGUAUCCCUUUUCCCUAUUAUGUAUCCUCAUUUAGUUUAUUUAUAAAACUUGUAUAAUUUUGGGUUUUAGGGGGCAAUGGAAUGUUUCAAAUGACAUAUACAUCCUUCAAAUCGUUAGGCCUACCCUUGGCAUAAAAGGGUCACAUAUCUGUUUAAAAAUGCAUAAUAUUUGUUUGUGUGCUAUGUGAUUAACUGUUUGUGUGAAUAUGUUGCUUCAUUUGGAGAUAUUCUAGCUUACUCUUCUUCGAAUUAUUUUUAGAACCCCUAAGCACAAAUAUCAAGUCACUAUCAAAAGUGCGUCCAAAUACUCUUCGAGUUUUUAGUUUCCUAACAAAAUUUGAACUUCACUUUCAAAUUCAUACUCUUAUAUCUCAGAAAAGGUCGAUUUACUCAAGUCAAAAAGAAAGGUCGAACUACGUAGGACCUGAAUUCUCUUUUGUGAGAUACGUAGGCAGCCUUUCAAGGUUCGGUCCCCAUUUUUGAGAAAUUCUAUAUUUCCAACUCUUACAAAGAAAUUAGAGUUACAUCUCAAUCGAAAAGCAAAGUAUGACAAUGAAAUAUACAAUAGAUUUUGUCUCGACUCAAGUCGACAUUCAGGUCCAUUAAGCUCAAAAAUCAAAUAGUCAAAUUUUCGUCUAUUUAGUCAUUUAUUUAUGUGGGCUAGUUUAUCUUCAAAUGAAACAACUUUUAUGUGUUUACAAUAAUGUGUGUGAUAUUUUGUAUUAUUUAUCAUCGACACAGACUAACACAUUUGCCUUUGAGUUGUUUUUCUUUGUCAGGUACUUAAAACUGAUCUGUGUUGAGAAAAAUGGCUGGACAUCCGUACUUCACAAGGUCCAAAGACCCCAAAGAUUUCUUCUACGACCAAUGUUUGUCAAAAGGCAAAGAAAAAGUAGUUGAAAAUGUUGAGAAUACAAAUUUGACCGAAAUUACUGUGAAUGACCUCAUCAUUGUCGAACAUAACAAGUUGAUUGCACAAUUGUUCCAACAGAUUGCUGAAAUGAGGGCGGAAAUGGAUAAGACACGAAAUUUGACGAAUCUAGCUAUUAGUGCCGACACUCCUACUCUAGACAACGGAAGACCUCCACUCCAUUUUCCUACUUCGGAUCCAACACUCAAGGAUUUUUCAAACAAUUCAUCCCCCUCUACCAUUCCAAAACCUCCCAUCAUCGACUUAACCACCCCUAACCCACAUCAUGCUAGCUCUUCACACCAAAAAUUACCCUACUCCUCCAAAUCCAAAUACCAACACUUUCCAGAAUUUUCCUCAUGUCCAUCAAACCCUUACUCAAAUUGUCGAAAACCCACCUACAACUCAACCCAUACCCUUAAAAACCGCAUUUCAUCUUCCAAUAUCGCCAGAAUCAUACCAUCCAUUUACUACACAUGUUGAACUCGAGCAUUAUGAGAAGAAUGAAAAGGAAUGGAAGGUCAUAAAGGGAAAGACUGAGCAAAGCAUCAGAGAGGAAGUUAUGGAUGCAAUGAAGAACUUUCAAUACACACCAGACAUUGCGGGGCUGAAUUAUGAAGAUUUGUGUCGUCAUCCACAUUUGGAGCUUCCAGAAGGUUUUAAAGUACCAAAAUUUGACACUUAUAGUGGAGUUGAAAAUCCUUUUACUCAUUUGAGGUCUUAUUGUGAUCAACUUAUUGGAGUAGGGAGAGAUGAAGCUUUGCUAAUGCGACUCUUUAGUCGUAGCCUGAAAGGAGAAGCCUUGGAAUGGUUUAUUUCUAAAGAAAUCAAGCAGUGGCCAAGUUGGAACGCUUUGGCUACUGAUAGUAGAGGUUCUUCAGUUUCCAUUUACUGUGUCUUCAACAGUAUUCCUUUUUCCUGGUUAAUUUUCGGGGGACAGAUUGAAACAUUUUGCUUCAGUGGUGACUGUGGUUGCGCGAAGCUUGAAAGUUCAAGGUAAGUUAGUUAUAUGUUCAUGCUGUAGACAGUAAAACUUUUAUGAAUAUAUGACACACUUGUCGUUACUUUCACUUCACAGGAUAAUUUCUCUGCUCAUUAAAACUUCCGUGAAUGAAGGACUUCAACAAAGAUAGUUGUCACAAAUCUUAUAGCAAAGAGUUCUCCCAUUAGCUCUUAAAAUGUCCUAAGCAGUAUCUGUUCAUCUUAACAGGUUUUGCUUUCUCCUUUUUUUAGUGGUUACUUAUAAUGAUCUGCUUCUCCAUCCUCCCAAUUAGGAAACGUGUGCCAAACUAACUUUUUACCAUUUCCUGUGUUUCAGAUUCAUGUUUGAAACACUAGCAUGUUACUUGUGUUGGAUGUGUUUCAGUGUCAUCAUUGGCAAGGGAAAUUGCACUCCGUAAGCUCAUUUGCAUUUGGCUGAAUCUGGAUUGGAGAUAUUACUUCCCUGUAUGUGGAGAUCCCGGAAAAGGGUCACGAGUGAUUGUCAAUUGAGCUUUUCGCGUAUACUGAAAUGAGAGUCCAAUGGUCCAGUCGGAACACCCAGCCCACAGCUCCUGAAAUUCUAAACUGAAUUAACCUGGCAGUGUUGAAUAGCAUUCAAAGUAGAAAGAGCAACUUAUGCCAGUUACUUUGCUACAUUUCUCUACCAUGGUUGUAUGUUGUGUAUAGAGCAACUUGUGUCUUGCAAUUUUAUUUUAUUGUUUUGAUGUCAGAAAUACUUUCAGCAAGACAAUAUUACAUGGUGUUAGGGUUACAACGUAACUUGUUAUCCAAAUCGACAAAUAAAUAAUUUUAUAAUACUUAUUAAGUUUGACUUCAAGUAAGAAUAUAACUAGUUUAAUGAAAUAUUAACCAAAUUGUUUCCCAAUGAUCACAAUGAAGCACAAAAGAUAUGUGUGAUUCAAUCAUUACGGCUCUUUAGGAUGUUUUGAUAUCGUGUAUAUGAAUCAUGGUUUGCUCAUUUGNNNNNNNNNNNNNNNNNNNNNNNNNNNNNNNNNNNNNNNNNNNNNNNNNNNNNNNNNNNNNNNNNNNNNNNNNNNNNNNNNNNNNNNNNNNNNNNNNNNNNNNNNNNNNNNNNNNNNNNNNNNNNNNNNNNNNNNNNNNNNNNNNNNNNNNNNNNNNNNNNNNNNNNNNNNNNNNNNNNNNNNNNNNNNNNNNNNNNNNNNNNNNNNNNNNNNNNNNNNNNNNNNNNNNNNNNNNNNNNNNNNNNNNNNNNNNNNNNNNNNNNNNNNNNNNNNNNNNNNNNNNNNNNNNNNNNNNNNNNNNNNNNNNNNNNNNNNNNNNNNNNNNNNNNNNNNNNNNNNNNNNNNNNNNNNNNNNNNNNNNNNNNNNNNNNNNNNNNNNNNNNNNNNNNNNNNNNNNNNNNNNNNNNNNNNNNNNNNNNNNNNNNNNNNNNNNNNNNNNNNNNNNNNNNNNNNNNNNNNNNNNNNNNNNNNNNNNNNNNNNNNNNNNNNNNNNNNNNNNNNNNNNNNNNNNNNNNNNNNNNNNNNNNNNNNNNNNNNNNNNNNNNNNNNNNNNNNNNNNNNNNNNNNNNNNNNNNNNNNNNNNNNNNNNNNNNNNNNNNNNNNNNNNNNNNNNNNNNNNNNNNNNNNNNNNNNNNNNNNNNNNNNNNNNNNNNNNNNNNNNNNNNNNNNNNNNNNNNNNNNNNNNNNNNNNNNNNNNNNNNNNNNNNNNNNNNNNNNNNNNNNNNNNNNNNNNNNNNNNNNNNNNNNNNNNNNNNNNNNNNNNNNNNNNNNNNNNNNNNNNNNNNNNNNNNNNNNNNNNNNNNNNNNNNNNNNNNNNNNNNNNNNNNNNNNNNNNNNNNNNNNNNNNNNNNNNNNNNNNNNNNNNNNNNNNNNNNNNNNNNNNAAAAAAAAUGAGAAAAUAUCUAUGCUUUAUGUUUUGUUGCUUUGUAUACGUUAGCCUAGCAUGUGGUAUUUUAGAAUCCUCAUUUGAAUAUUGUAUUUGUACAAUAGUUAGUUAAUUUUACUUUAUGCACUUAUAUAUUCUUUUUAUUAGGAAAAUCUAUGUACUUUCUAUUGUAAAAAUGAUGAUUUUUUUAGUAAAUAUCAAUAGAUUUGAAGGACAUAAAAUAUGUUAUUUGCAAUCAAAAUUUAUAUGAAGUAUUUUGGGAUAAACUAGAACUAGUUAUUCGAUAAAGUGGUGCACUUUUAAUCCCAACCCAAAUUUCCGUUAGGUUUUUUACCAGACAAAAGGUUCAAAAUGUGUCUCCUUAUUGAAUUUGUGGAAGAUAAGGUUAGUGCUAAAUCCUUUAGAUAAGGUAAGUGAUUAGUAUGUAAUUGCAGGGGAAAUGUUUAAGUUUUUCAUAGAGUUAAAUGGCUAAAAACACACCUCAAUCCUGUGUGUUUUCGCGAGUUAGAUAAUAAAACUAUCACAAUCUUUGUAUUAAAACACACCUCAAGUACUAAUUGGAAAGUGACCAUAGGAAGAAAACAUCUCAUUUAAUCUUGCAGCACUCCAUAACUUGAUCCAUAUCACGGGAACGUAACAACUUGGUAUCAUAGACAGGAGUUAUAAGAAAACAUCUGAUUUCAUCUGAUUUUCUUCUGUCUAAUUUGAUGACUUAUGAGUAAAUCUGAGACGAUGACCUUUGAUAAUGUCUGUGCCACUCAACUAUGCUCUAUCCAGAUGAUGUUCUCAAAAUUUUCAACAAUUUAGUAAUUUAAGUGCAUAUAGCUUAAGGAUAAAAAAACUGGUCAGUUACAAUUUUUUCUUAUUUAUGCUUUCAGGUAACUGGAAACAGUCCUCUGAUUUUAUCCGUGAACUAGCAAAAGAAGACGACUUUGUGAAGGAGCAAAAAUAACAAUGGCCGAUCCAGUAAUUGGUGCUACUGUUCAAGUUGUGCUUGAGAAGCUGCUUUCUCUCACUAUUGAGGAGGCCAAAACUUUAAGGAACUGCAAGAAAAAUCUCAGAAUGCUCACAAAAUAUGUAUCCAUCAUCCAAGCUUUCAUUCAUGAUGCUGAAAGACGACAAGUCGAAGAUCAGGCUGUGGAAGAAUGGCUCAAGAUGCUUGAGAGAGUUGCUGAAGAUGCUGAAAAUGUGUUUGACAAAUUCACAUAUGAAUCUCUCAAAGCACAAGUGAUGAAAAACCGAGCCAAACUACUGGAAAAAGUUCAUAGCUUCUUUUCUAAUACUGCUUUUAAGUACAAAAUGUCUCGAAAAAUCAACAACAUCAAUGAAGAGUUGAGGGCUAUCAAUCAGUUAGCCAAUGACCUCGGUCUCCAAUCACUGACUGUUCCUUCUCGCAAAAUACUACAAAUCAGAGAAACAGAUUCCUUAGGAGUUGCUUCGGAUGUUGUUGGUAGAGACAAAGAUGUUGCUGAAAUAAAGGAGAAGAUGUUGAACAUGAGAGAGGAAGUUGUUCGGUGUGCCAUUCCCAUAGUGGGCAUGGGGGGUUUAGAGAAAACUACCAAAACAACUUUGGCCAAGAGAAUUUUCAAUGAUGAACAGAUCGAGAAGCACUUUGAAAAGAGAGUAUGGUUAUGUCUACCUGAAAUGUCAGAAAUUAAGAGCUUUCUUGAACUGAUCCUCGAAGCAUUGACUGAGAGGAAACUUGAGGUCCAGAGUAGAGAUAUUAUAGUCAAGAAGGUCCGAGAUGAACUGGCAGGAAGAAAGUAUUUGAUUGUCCUGGAUGAUUUGUGGCGUGUUGACCCAACAUUGUGGGAUGAGUUUGUGGACACCUUGAGAGGAAUAAAUACAUCCCGAGGAAACUUCAUUCUUGUGACUACUCGUAUGGAAUUGGUGGCAUCCACUGUAGUAGCAGCAGUAGGUCCUCAUAUGUUGGAAAAAUUAGAAAAAGAUCACUGUUGGUCGAUUUUCAAACAAAGAGCAUUUGUUGAUGGGGAAGUUCCGGAGGAAAUACUGAGUGUGGAGAACAGGAUUGCUGAAAUGUGUCAAGGUCUACCGUUGGCUGCAAGUGUUUUGGGAGGCCUCUUGCGCAACAAGGAGAAGCAUGAAUGGCAGGCAAUUCUUGAUGGAAACCCCCUUGUUGCAGGUGAAAAUAGCUUAAAGAAAAUCCUAAAACUCAGCUAUGUUCAUCUACCAUCUCCAUAUCUAAAAAAAUGUUUUGCUUACUUUGCAAUGUUUCCAAAAGAUUUUAAGUUUGAAAAGAACCAACUAGUCCAACUCUGGAUGGCAGAAGGGUUUCUUCGUCCAAGUCAAGAGAUUCCUGUUAUGGAAGACGUAGGGAACAAGUUUUUUCAACUUUUGUUGCAAUAUUCCUUGCUGCAAGAUGUUGAGCUAGAUGAGCACAACAAUAUAACACACUGUAAGAUGCAUGAUCUUGUGCAUGAUUUGGCUGGAGAUACAUUAAAAUCUAAACUAUUUGAUACGAAAAGUGUUGGAGGUGAAAAUCUUUCUCAAGUUCGAUACAUUGGAUGGGACUCACCAAGUGAUCAAAUGGAUACGAUAAAUGAGGCAGGACGUUUGUGCACAUUGUUCUGGAAAAGCAAUAUAUCUGAUGAUAUGCUAUUGAGCUUUCAGUUCUUGAGACUUUUAAAUUUGUCUGGAUCAGGCAUCAAGGAGUUGUCAGCCAAAAUCAGCAAGCUAAUAUACUUGAGAUAUCUUGAUCUCUCCAACACUCAGAUCAAAGACUUUCCCAACUCCAUUUGCAAGCUCUACAAUUUGCAAACGUUUAGAGUCAAUGACUGUUCUUCACUCAGGAAGCUUCCAAAAGAAUUGGCAAAAAUGAUAAGUUUGAGACACGUAUAUUACAAACCAUCAAUUUAUGAUCAGUUUCAGAUGCCACUUAAUAUGGGGCAAUUGACCAGUCUUCAGACGCUACAGUUUUUCUACGUAGGCUUAGAGAAAGGUCGUCGAAUUGAAGAAUUAGGUCGUUUGAAAAACCUUAGAGGUGAAUUGUCGAUCAGAUGUCUCCAAUUAGUCAGAAAUAAAGAAGAUGCUCAAACAGCAUAUUUAAAGGAGAAACCAAAUAUCUACAAUCUAGCAUAUUUAUGGUUCCAUGAUGAAUCAGAAGGCUGUGAGAUCAAUGAUGAGCAUGUGUUGGAUGGUCUUCAACCGCAUCCUAACUUGAAAGCCUUAUCAGUAGUGGACUAUUUAGGGACUAAAUUUCCUUCAUGGUUCAGUGAAGAGUUGCUACCAAAUUUGGUCAAGUUGAAACUAAGUGGUUGCAAAAGGUGCAAAGAAAUUCCAUCCCUUGGCCAACUGAAAUUCCUUCGGCAUCUUGAGCUGGAAGGAUUCCAUGAGUUGGAAUGCAUUGGACCUGAUUUAUAUGGUGUUGAGAUUAGCAAUAAUGGAUCAAGCAGCAUUAUCCAAGUGUUCCCGUCAUUGAAAGAACUAGUAUUAGAGAAUAUGCGCAGCCUUAUUGAGUGGAAGGGAGAUGAAGUUGGUGUUAGAAUGUUUCCUAGGCUUGAGAAGUUGACGAUUACAGACUGUUCACUGUUAAAAAGUACUCCAAGUCAAUUUGAAAUCCUGCGUGAAUUAAGAAUUGAAUUAGUUGACAGUGAAAUGCCAUUGUUGAACUUGUACAGCAACUUGACAUCUCUUGUGGAUCUUUCUGUUAGGAAUGUGCAAGAGCUCACUUGUCUUCCAGAUGAGAUUCUACGCAACAACGUUUCUCUUCAAUACCUAUCAGUCUCAUACUGCGGAGAGUUUCGUGAAUUGCCACAAAGCUUGUACAAUCUCCAUUCUCUUAAGAGAUUAAUGAUUGCCAACUGCACCAAUUUCAGUUCUUUUCCUGUUCCCUGUGGAGAGAACUAUUUGACUAACCUCCGAAGGUUGGAUUUAUUCAAUUGUAAUGGAUUGACCAGCUUACCAAGUGGAAUUCUAGAGCAUUGUCGGUCUCUGAUAGUUUUUAAUGUCUGCAAUUGUAAGAACUUAGUUUCAUUGCCUUUACACGUGUGGGAAAUGCCUUCACUUUCCUAUUUGGAUUUAUCAGAUUGUCCCAAAUUGAUUAGUGUACCCGCAGGAGGCCUUCACUGUCUCACCGGGUUAAGGAGAUUGGAAAUUGGUCCUUUCUCAGAGAUGGUGAAUUUUGAGGCAUUCCAAUUGAUUUUUAAUGGCAUUCAGCAGUUGUUGUCCCUUCGUAGAUUGGGUGUGUGGGGACGUGGGCACUGGGAUUCUCUGCCCUAUCAGCUUAUGCAACUCUCUGCCCUAACAGAGAUCAAAAUAUGCAAUUUCGGAAUGGAGGCUCUUCCUCAUAGAUUUGACAACCUUACUUCUCUUGAAACAUUACAAGUAGAGGAGUGCGAGCGGCUAUGGCAUUUGGACUUCUCAGAUUCCAUGUCAAAAUUACGGCAUCUCAGGAUAUAUGCUUGUCCAUUGUUAGAAGCUCUGUCAGAUGGGCUCGGCAACAUUGUUUCUUUGGAAAAAUUAGUUUUACAUCACUGCCAAAAACUAAAACAUCUGCCAUCCAGAGAUGCCAUGCAACGCCUCACCAAAUUACUGUACCUGGAAAUUGGAAGCUGCCCACAGUUAGAAGAAAGUUGCACCAAUCGGAGUAGCCCAAACUCCCAGUGGUCCAACAUUUCCCAUAUUCCAGAAAUUCAAGUAGGCGGGACGAUGAUUCAGGAUACACGUAUGUCUCUGUUUCUCUUUCACUUUCUUAGUCGAUUUUUCAAAUAUUAUUUUCAUGAGUUCCACACAAAAAGCUUUGUAUGUAAUUUAAUAUUAAAAAUGCAAAAUUAAAUCAAUCAUUUGCAUAUGUGAUAUACUUUCAGCAUUCUGCUUGUCCACUUGAACGACUUGUUUUUCUUUUAAUUCUUCAAGUAUGGUAUAUCUUGAUAAUACUUAGGGUGUGUUUGGUAUGAAGGAAAAUGUUUUCCUGGAAAACAAGUUGAUUUUUGACUUAUUUUCUCAUUUUUGGUUGGUGAGUAGAAAAUAGUUUCCGAAAAAGAUUUUUAGUAUUUGAUUUAUGAAUGAUUUUUUUUUUGAGAAAUAUCUUUUAUUUUUACUAGGGUAGAAAAUAAUUUUUGAAAUUGAAAAUAUUUUUUAAAAACAAACUUAAUUUUUUUUGGGGUGGGGUGGUAGGGGUGGGUNNNNNNNNNNNNNNNNNNNNNNNNNNNNNNNNNNNNNNNNNNNNNNNNNNNNNNNNNNNNNNNNNNNNNNNNNNNNNNNNNNNNNNNNNNNNNNNNNNNNNNNNNNNNNNNNNNNNNNNNNNNNNNNNNNNNNNNNNNNNNNNNNNNNNNNNNNNNNNNNNNNNNNNNNNNNNNNNNNNNNNNNNNNNNNNNNNNNNNNNNNNNNNNNNNNNNNNNNNNNNNNNNNNNNNNNNNNNNNNNNNNNNNNNNNNNNNNNNNNNNNNNNNNNNNNNNNNNNNNNNNNNNNNNNNNNNNNNNNNNNNNNNNNNNNNNNNNGGGUUGGUUGGGGGGCUGGUUUGAGGGUAGGGACAAAAUAAAUUGAUUUUUUCAACAAUUUUUUUUUUAAUUGGAAGUUGGAAGAGAGUUUUGGAAAAUGUUUUCCUUAAGUUUUGAAGAGAAGUCAUUUUCCUUAAAUUUGAGGAAAAUGAGUUGAUUUGAAAAACAUUUUCCAAAAAUUUAACCCAAUCAAACAUGAGAAAAUUGGAAAACAUUUUCCGAAAAAUGUUUUCCUUCAUACCAAACACACCCUUAAUCAUGAAAUUUAUGUUUUUUUUUUCCUUCUAGGUUACUAGUUCCAAGGUCAUGCUAGAACAUCGAUGUGGUAAAUUAAGCCAAAUCCCAUGAGCAGCAGGCAAUUACGUUAGGUAAAUUUUCAUUUACAAUUUAUAGGCACUUUGUAAUCUACUAAUUUCUAUCCUUCUUUUUGUUGGGAACUGAUUUUCGGAGGUCUGUGCUGAUGAAUACAACACUACCUUCCUAAAAAAAAAAAAAAAAGAAGUUUAAUCAAGAAAAUUUAUGUUGCUGCUCAUAGGUUACUAGGUACAAGGUCAUGGUAGAACUUCCUUGUGGUAUAUCAAGUCAAAAUCCACGGGCAGUAAUCACAUUAGGUAUUUUUAUUUAGUUGUUAAAGGACUGCUAUAAAAAGUCUGUCAAGUUCUUUUUUGCAUUCCUUUUCUCUCACGAAACAAUUUUACUGUUUAAACGGGGUUUGUUAUGUUUCAUAGAGGCUCAUGGGGUACAAACGGCUACAAAUUACUGUACCUGGAAACUGAAGGCUGCCCAGAGUUAGAAGAAAGUUGCACCAAUCGGAGUAGCUCAAACUCCCACUAGUCCAACAUUUCCCGUGUUCCAAAUAUUGAAGUAGAUGGGAGGAAAAUUCAGAACUUAUGUAAGUCUCUGUUUCUUCUUCUAAUUUUUAAAUUUUCAUAUCUUGAUAUGAAAAUUUAUGUGUUUUUUUAUAGGUUACUAGUUCCACGGUCAUGCUAGAACGUCUCUGUGGUAAAUUAAGCCUCAUCCCAUGAGCGGCAGGCAAUUAUGUCAGAUAAAUUUUCAUAUAGGAUUUAUAGGCACUUUGUAAUCUUCUAAAUUUUGUGUCUUCCUUUUUGUUGGGAACAAAUUUUUGGAGGUCUAUGCUGAUGAAUACAACAUGAAAAUUUAUGUUGAUGCUCAUACAUUACUAGGUACAAGGUCAUGGAAGAACUUCAUUGUGGUUUAUCAAGUCAAAAUCCAUGGGCAGCAAUCACAUUAGGUAUCUUUAUUAGUUGUUAGAGGAAUGCUAUAACAAGUUUGUCAGCUUCAUUCCUUUUCUCUCAUGAUACAUUUUUACUGUUUAACCAGGUUUGUUAUGUUUCACAGAGGAACCACCACUUUUAUUUUGUUUGAAGAACAGAAUCUUCAGCUGUAGACUCAUUACGAAACACUUUCAUGAGUAUUUGGGUACUGAACAUCUUUUCGGGAAACUGUAGUCUACAUAUGAAACAUCAAAAAACUCAAAGCAUAUAGGGUGCUCAAUGUGAAGCUACACACGUCUAUCCUCUGUCUUUGCAUGAACCUAUUUGCCUUUUUAUUCUCCAUGUAAGUUUCUGCAAUUUUAUUUGACGAAUAAAGUCUGAUAUCUACUUUCAUAGGGACUUUGUAUUUAACUUUCUAUGAAAUUGUGAACUGUUAGAAUGUAACCUGUUUUAUUCCCUUUUACUUUCAAUGAUUUACUAUCUCACAGUAUUAAUGUCUGUGCCUCCCCUCUCCCAUCCGGUACGAAAUAAGAAGAAUCUUAGUAUUUGUCAUAUCUAGUCAGGUGAUAUGAUGAAGAUAAUGGAAGUAAUGGAUGGUCGGUGUGUUAUGAAUGGGCCUAGACCAGUAUUGACAAAGCAGCCCAAAGCCGAAUUAAAAGGGCUAUGUGUGGGAUCCGGGUUGAUAAAUAGAGACUUGGGAGAGCAAAAUAGUUUUAUGCAAAUUAUGUGAAGCUUUGGCUUUCUGAUCCUCUCAUCUCCUUUCUAUGGUCUAGAAUCUCAUCCCCUUCUAGUUACCCUCUUCUAUGUUAUCUAUCUAUAAUUAGUGUGUUGUUACUUUGUUGUGGGUAUUAUACAUUGUAACUUGUAUUCCGUAAUAACAAUAUAUAUAUCAGUGUUUGUGUUGAAAAUUGAGUUUGUUACAUUGGUGCUUUCAUCCAGAGGUUUCUCAUGGAGGACCAAAGACUCAAGGCUCUCAUCAAUGAAUCCAUUAAGGAGGCAAAAGAGUCAUUUUCCAAAGAUAUUGCAGACAUUCGCCAUAUGUUACAGGAGGUUACCCGAAAGUUCGUUCCGGCAGGGCCUCACAUUCGAGAUCCAACAAUGGAGGUUGCUCGUCCUCAUCACGGGAAAGGCACUCUUGAAUCCCCCACACUCCGUCAUAGGCCAGCUCCGGUGGAACUAGGACGAUUUCGUGGUGAAAAUCCAGAGGCGUGGAUUUUCCAAGCUGAAUGCUAUUUUGAUUUUUACGGAAUCGUAGAAACGCACAAGCUAACCUUGGCAUCCUUUUAUCUCAACGGUGAAGCUUUGGAAUGGUAUCAAUGGUUGUUUUGCAACAAACAACUGGCUGGCUGGGACCAUUUUGUGGACAAAUUGCUGAUUCGUUUUCGCUCCCGUACUAGGGACAAACAACGCGAGUUCUUACCCAUUCCCAGAAACAAGAAUCAUAGGGCAGUGGAGUACUCUCAGGCGGUUAGUCCAUCGUUGGUUAAUAUUGAGACUUUGGGUCCCAUGUUGGACUCCAAAUAUGACUUGAAGAACAACCCAAACGGCUAUGCCUGCAAGGUGUUCGCUGAAAUGCCCGAUAAGAAAAUUGACAUGGAAGUUGAACAUCCAGUGAUAACUGAUUCAACAAAUCUGGCAUCCCAUAUGUUUGAUGAAAAUUUUCAAACAGUUUCUGCAUUUUAAGGGAGAGUACGGUGAGCUUAUCAUGUUUGAUAAUAAUUGUCUUGCACUACCUUGUUUGCCUUCGAUUUUUAGUCGCACCCAACUUAUGGGAAGAUCUAUAUUUGAUUACUUCAAGGAAUUCGGUCAUGCUAACCUCCCAUUAUCGUUGUAUCAAUUUCCACUUGAUCAUUUCGGGUUCAGCUUUCCAUUUGAUCCUGGUUCUAGUUUGAAAGUUGGAGUCGCGCUGUGAUAAUUUGGAGCAAUGUACUGCUCAUCGGUAAAGUUGCAAGAGAACUGCCUACACCUGCUUCUAACUUGCUGAUGUUAGUAUGUAUAGCUUCCUUAAUAGCUCCAAUGAGAAUCCUCACAAUGAUAUCAAAUUGGUACUACUUGAACCUUGAGGACAAGGUUCUUAUUGGGGCUGAAGGUAUUGUUAUGAAUGGGCCUAGACCAGUAUUGACAAAGCAGCCCAAAGCCGAAUUAAAAGGGCUAUGUGUGGGAUCCGGGUUGAUAAAUAGAGACUUGGGAGAGCAAAAUAGUUUUAUGCAAAUUAUGUGAAGCUUUGGCUUUCUGAUCCUCUCAUCUCCUUUCUAUGGUCUAGAAUCUCAUCCCCUUCUAGUUACCCUCUUCUAUGUUAUCUAUCUAUAAUUAGUGUGUUGUUACUUUGUUGUGGGUAUUAUACAUUGUAACUUGUAUUCCGUAAUAACAAUAUAUAUAUCAGUGUUUGUGUUGAAAAUUGAGUUUGUUACACGGUGCCAUUGAAAUCUGCUUAAUGCUUAUGAGGUAUUCAUGAGCCGGUGACUGUGGUUGCAUCUUGCACGAAGCUUGAAAGUUCAAGGUAAGUUUUUUAGAUCAAUACUUUUUUCUCCCAAAUGCUACUUUUGAAUCAUCAUACUUAUCUAUGGAACAAUGUCAAGUCUUAUAUAUGGUAGAAAUCUAUAUAAGUUUCUUAAUAGACUCAUAAAAAACUAUCUUUAUUUUCAUGCUUUAUCAGUAGAAACUUUAUGGAUAUUUGACACACUUCUCGUUACUUUCACUUCACAGGAUAAUUUCUCCGUUGAUAUUGGAAAGUGAAUUGGAAAUAUUAUUUCCCUGUAUGUGGAAGAUCCGAAAAGGAUUCAUGAAUGAUUAAGUUUGUUGCACAUGAAUCAUGAUAAUCAGUAGAGGCUUUUUGCGUAUGUUGAAUUAAUCAUUAAAGGUCACAGACAUGAAUAAGAUUUGCGAAAAUGCAGUCUAGGAAAUGAAGUUUUUACUCAUGUUAGAUUUAAGCAGUAUAUCUUAUGAAAGAUUGAGUAUUAUUUAUUUGUCUUUUCCACUGUAUCACAAAGAAAAGAGAGGUUAAGUGAUCGAAUAACCCUUUUAUAAUUAAUGAUAAUUAUAUUAUUUUAAAUAAAAAAUUUGAUCCAAUAAAUAUUUUAUCUAAUUUUCUCAAAAAAAAAAAAAAAGAGUCCAGUGGAAUACUUGUCUUUGAUAGAAUGUGACACAUUAGGAAAUCCAGCCAAACUUGGUCAAAAUUGUGUAUUAUUGCCGGAAAACAGAACUGAAAAAUAGUAUUUUCUCCGUCCUUGAUUUAUACAUUGUCGUGUUUUAUAAUUUUUUUGAAAUAACAUAAAGAUUUCAUGUCUAAAUUUAUAGUUAAAAUAAAAAUAUUUGAUUCUCAAAAUUCAAAUAACGAGAAAGAGGGAGUACUAAGAAAAACAUGUCCACAGAACAAUGUGUUUGAUUCCUUCAAAUAAGUACUACUAUUCCUUCAUGGGAUUUUUUUUAAAGUUCGAAAUAAAAAGAAUUUACUAAAUUUAGACAAGUCAUUGAAUAAUAAAUGAGCGGGACAUUAACUAAAGAUUUCUUUAAUUAAGAUGAGUUAAACAAUUAGCCUUAGUCCACCUCGCAUUAAACUCUUACCAACUUUUUAUGGUUGUUUGCUUUCUUAGUGAUUGUCUUUAUCAAAUAAAAGUAUAAAAUCGGUUUAAUUUUUUUUUAUCACGACUAUCCAUAGCAUAUGAAGUAAAAAAAUAAUAAUUUAAAAAUCAAUAAUAUUUCUUAUUAAUUUGGGUACCAUAUUUCAAUAAUGUUUUGACUAAGCAUAUUUAAUAUUAAAAAAUAAAGGAAAGAGAGAGGGGGAGAAAUGAUAAGUACCUGAAACUGAAGAUGGCAGAGAAGAAGACUCAAUAAAUUGUGAACAUUUUCACCGAAUGAAAUAGGAAAAAAGACUUAUUUAUAAUAAGAUGUUAGGAGCAGUAAAAAAACCUCUCUCUAUUAUAAGAUGUUAGAAUUGGUAGAAAAGAUUCAAUUUAUUAUGAGAUGUUUUUACUUUUUCAAACAAAAAAUAAUAGAAAUUUUACUAUUUAAUAUUUAAUAAAUUGGACUAAGAGUUGUUAAAUUAAAAUUAGUAUAUGUAAAAUAUUGAUUUGAAUCAUUUUAGAUUGUAAUAUUUUAUCUGAGCAAAUUAAAAAUAUUACAUUUUAAAAGUCCAAUUAGUGUAUUGUUCCUUAAUUAAAUCUAUCCCCCCCCCCCGUCCCUCCUUACCCCGCUUCCCCUUCCCUUUCUCCAUCCCCAUAAUUAAUUCUAUAUGAACAUAGAUAAUAAAUAUCAUAAUGAAUAUCAAAUAAUUUUAAUGUUUCAUAUAUAUUUCUCUUUAUUACAUUAUUUGUUGUUUAAAAUUAUAGUAUCAGUAUUGAUUUUUAUUAACUUAUCAUUUGACUUAAUAUAAUUAUCAAGCGCUCUUCUUGUAGAUAUUAAACAAAUCUGUUUAUUUUUUUUACUUGUGAGUUUUAAAUUUUAUUGUUCACAUUCCUUUAAUUCAAUAUUUAUGGAUAAUAAUAUGUAUAUUAUCUAACUAAUUUAUUAUACUCUCAAAAGUAGUUCAAAAUAUUUUUCACACACAUUUUUCGCUAACAUUAUAUAUUAGCUUUAUGCCUUUAUCUUAAAACUGUCAAGUGGCUUUUAGCUUGCCACUUGACUUAACCACAUUGCAAACUACUUUGUUAUAUGUAAAUAUAUAUAUAGAUCUAGAUGAUAAUUGUGCGCUUAAUGAUUUAUACAAACAUUCAAAGAGACUGAAACGUUGCCAGAUUAAAAAAUUAGGAAAAACUACAAAAUAUAGCAAACAUCAAUUUAUAUUAUAUGUAUAUAGCUACAAUUUAUUUUUUUAACCUAUAUGGAUAUACUUACAUAUUAAUUAGCAAACUUAAUUAACCAUGAAUUGUAAGCUUUUUUUUAAAAAAAAAUUAUAUGUAUUUAAAUAAUUAUUACUAAAUAGGAAAGAUAUCACUACAUAAAUGCAAUAUAUACGUUUUAUGGUGCUAUGUUGUCCAUACUUACCUUAUUCAACAUUUUUCUCUUUCAAUAUACAUGUAUCAACGCUUUUUUUAUUAUUUUUCCUCUAAUUUCCUUCUAAUUCAAGAUCCUUUGCAUGAUUGUAUGAACGAUUUUUGUGAUUCAUCUUCGUUGGGUAUAUUCUAAUUAAUUGCAUUUUUUUCUCCUUUAUAUGAAGUUUAUAUUUAUACACAUAUAUAUGUUUCUCGAUUUUCGUAGGGUUUUAUUUUAAGAAGUUAUUUUCACCAGCAUUCAAAUAUACAAUUAAAUUCUGUUAAAAUUCACUUUGAUACAAAUGAUGUAAUACAUUUCGUUCUCUUGAUACACGCAUAUAAUUGUAUUUGAAUGUUGAACACAAUGGAAUACAUAUACAUUUGAAUACUUGUUAUUUUUUAUGAAUUGUCCAAUUAAAAUACAAGUGCAUUUGGAUACAUAAAUACAUUACAUAAAUUUGAAUGUAUACAUAUACAACACAUCUAUUUUUUUAUUGAGUGAAAUACAUAUACAUUUGGAUAAUUAUAUUGUAGUAUAGUUCUUUGACAUUUUUUCUAGAUUGUCCAAUUAUAUUGAUAUAUUAACACAAUUGUAUUGAGCAAUCUUAGGGAUACAAUAUACUUAUCAUGAAGUUCACGUAUUUGAAAUCGAAACAAACAAGAUUCAUUCACUAUUACAAUAAAUCAAUUUAACUAAAGAAAUUUAUGUGAAAUAUAUUUAUGCUUGAACAAGAACAACAUCAAGAAAGAAAAUAUGUGUACGAUGUAUCCAAAUUUUUUUAAAACUAAUUGGAAUCCUAGAGUAUAUGCAUUGACUAGGUAAUCAAAUAUGUGAAUAAAUUGUAUUCUCUUGAUUACACACAUAUAAUUGUAUUUGAAUGUUGAACAUAGUGGAAUACAUAUACAUUUGAAUACUUGUUAUUUUUUCAUGGAUUGUCCAAUUAGAAAUACAAGUGCAUUAGGAUACAUAAAUACAUUACAUAGAUUUGAAUGUAUACGUAUACAACACAUAUUUUUUUUUUUGCAUAGAGUGAAAUACAUAUACAUUUGGCUAAUCAUAUUUGUAUUAUAGUUCAUUGUCAUUUUUUUUCUAGAUUGUCCAAUUGUAUUGAUAUAUCAACACAAUUGUAUUGAGCAAUCUUAGGGAUACAAUUAUGCUUAUUGUGUAUUUGAAACCAAAACAAACAAGAUUCAUUCACAAUUACAAUAAAUCAAUUUAACUAAAGAAAAUGUAAGUGAAAUACCUUUACGCUUGAACAAGAACAAUAGCGACAAAUGAAAAAUUUGUAUACGAUGUAUCCAAUUUUUUUAAAAAAGUAAUUGGAAUCCGAGAGUAUACACAUUGACUAUGUAAUCAUUAGUUGUUAAUGUAAUAAUGGGAAGUUGAGAAUUUCAAGCAACAUAAUUAAAGGGAUUCAGUUACCUUAUUUAAUUCACUAUAAUUCUAAUUAUAUCACUGUAUAAUUUAAAAAAAAAAAACAAAUACAGCUAGAUAUUAAUAUAAAAUGUAGUUAUUUUUAGUAAAUGAUAUACUUAUAACUAUUGAACUUCAAUAACCCUAUAAAUAUAGUCAUUUAUGUAAGUUGCUCUUAAAAUUAACUGGUCUAUUAGUUAAAUGAAGGUUUUAUAUGAAUAAUUUAAUGGGCAAAUUACAGAAAUCACAUACUUUUAAGGCAAAAUUAUAAUUUAUUCCUUAAAAGUUUAUAAUUACAGAAAUCCUUCAAACGGAUACAAUAAUAUAAGCGCUGAUACAUUAAUCUGAUGCGCGAGAUACAUUAAUCGUUAAGUAAGAUACAUUACAUUUUAUACAUGAUACACUAAUCUAAUGCGCGAGAUACGAUAAUAUAAACGCUGAUACAUUAAUCUGAUGCGCGAGAUACACUAAUCUGAUGUGCGAAAAUAAGGAAUUUUGGAGAUUUGUAAAACUUAUAGGGGAUAAUGAUAAUAAGUAAACUAAAAGUUGAAUUUUCUGUAAUUUUCCCUAAUUUAAUUGAUUCAGUUGGCAAGCUAAUAUACUUUGCAAGGGGUGGAAUAGAAGAAUUUAAAUUGAGGAGUACUCCCUCCGUUCCACAAAGAAUGACCUCCUUUCCUUUUUAGUCAGUUUCAAAAAGAAUGACCUCUUUCCUUUUUUGGUAACAUUUUACUUUUUGCUUUCCGCAUGACAUGUUUAAAACCACAAGAUUCAGGGCAAUUUUGUACAUUUGACAUAACUUUAAUUUAGGACCACAAGAUUCAAAAGUCUUCUUUAUUUACUUAAACUCCGUGCCAAGUCAAACCAGGUCAUUCUUUAUGAACGGAGGGAGUAAUAGAGAAAAUCAUAUGAAUCAGAAGACCAUGAAGCUGCCACUUUUUGCUCUGCUCGAACUCAAAACUUUAGGGUCGAUGGUGAGGGAUGCUUACAAAAUGACUGUGAGAUGAAUGAUGAGUUGAAGGGUGUAUUUGGUAUGAAGGAAAAUGUUUUCCAAUUUUCUCAUGUUUGGUUGGGUUAAAUGUUUUGGAAAAUGUUUUCCAAAUCAACUCAUUUUCCUCAAAUUUAAAGAAAAUGACUUUCCUUCAAAACUUAAGGAAAACAUUUUCCAAAACUCUCUUCCAACUUCCAAUUAAAAAAAAUUGUUGAAAAAAUCAAUUUAUUUUGUCUCUACACUCAAACCAACCCCCCAACCACCCCCCCCNNNNNNNNNNNNNNNNNNNNNNNNNNNNNNNNNNNNNNNNNNNNNNNNNNNNNNNNNNNNNNNNNNNNNNNNNNNNNNNNNNNNNNNNNNNNNNNNNNNNNNNNNNNNNNNNNNNNNNNNNNNNNNNNNNNNNNNNNNNNNNNNNNNNNNNNNNNNNNNNNNNNNNNNNNNNNNNNNNNNNNNNNNNNNNNNNNNNNNNNNNNNNNNNNNNNNNNNNNNNNNNNNNNNNNNNNNNNNNNNNNNNNNNNNNNNNNNNNNNNNNNNNNNNNNNNNNNNNNNNNNNNNNNNNNNNNNNNNNNNNNNNNNNNNNNNNNNNNNNNNNNNNNNNNNNNNNNNNNNNNNNNNNNNNNNNNNNNNNNNNNNNNNNNNNNNNNNNNNNNNNNNNNNNNNNNNNNNNNNNNNNNNNNNNNNNNNNNNNNNNNNNNNNNNNNNNNNNNNNNNNNNNNNNNNNNNNNNNNNNNNNNNNNNNNNNNNNNNNNNNNNNNNNNNNNNNNNNNNNNNNNNNNNNNNNNNNNNNNNNNNNNNNNNNNNNNNNNNNNNNNNNNNNNNNNNNNNNNNNNNNNNNNNNNNNNNNNNNNNNNNNNNNNNNNNNNNNACCCACGCCCUACCAGCCCCCCACCCCCCAAAAAAAAUUUAAGUUUUUUUUAAAAAAAUAUUUUUAACUUCAAAAUUUUAAUUUUUCACCCCUACCUUUGACCCCCACUCCCUACCAGCCCCCACCCCAAAAAAAAUUAAGUUUGUUUUUAAAAAAUAUUUUCAAUUUCAAAAAUCAUUUCUACUCUAGUAAAAUAAAAGAAUUUUUUCAAAACAUUUUUCAUUCAUAAAUCAAACACAAAAAAUCUUUUUCGAAAAAUAUUUUCUACUCACCAAUCAAACAUGAGAAAAUAAGUUAAAAAUCAACUUGUUUUCCAAGAAAACAUUUUCCUUCGUACCAAACACACCCGAAAUUGCAGAAAUUCUACAAUUUGCAAUUUUUUAGUAAUGAGAUGCUUCCCAUUGAUGGUAUUCUGCAGCUGGGAUUCUGUGCCCUAACAAUAAUUGAUUUUGGAUUCCAUGCUCUUCCUCAUACUCUUGCCAAUCUGGAAUUCUUACAUGUUAUGCCCAAAUUGCUGUGUCAUUCCAGUUGGGCAUUCAGUUUUGGACCGGUAUUAUUUUCCCUCUCCCAAUUCUCUUUCUCUCUCAUUCUCUAACCCUAGCUAAUUCUGCCAUUUAUGGAGUUGUACUAUUUCCCUAUCAUUCUAAGGCAUUGCAAUUUGAAUUUCGCACCCAAACACAUUUGUGAUUUCAGCUCUCCAGAUCAUAUGGAUUUUGUGCAAAACAGAUAAUGCAGUUUGAGAUAUUGAGCAUUUUACUUAGCAAUUGGUACAACAAGAGCCUUAAUACUGCUUAUAGAAGAGCCCUAAAAUGCUUUUUUCUUUUUGGAGGAAGUUUGGCUAAGUUUAUAACCUGGUUAAAUUGGCUUUAUUUUGACAAAGUUUUAUUAUUUUAUCCUUUUUUUAAUUCUCCGAAAAUCUUUACUAAAACAAAACGCCUUCAAAGUUACAGGAUUGUUUCUUAGAGAGAUAUUUGUGUCAUUGGAGUACUGAAUGCCACUCAUUUUUUUUUGAAUUAUUGUAUAUGAAUUUUAGUGGUCCAUAAACAACUAGCAAAAGAAGACUUUGGUGCAAAGGAAGAAGACAAAUUUGAGAAGGAGCAAACGCAACAAUUGCCGACCCUGUAAUUGGUGCUACUGUUCAGGUUGUGCUUGAGAAACUGCUUUCUCUCACCAUUGAGGAGGCCAGAAGUUUAAGGAACUGCAAGAAAAAUCUCAGAAUGCUGACAAAAUAUGUAUCCAUCGAUGCACAGGCUGUGGAACAAUGGCUCAAGAUGCUUGAGAGAAUUGCUUAAGAUGCUGAAAAUGUGUUUGACAAAUUCACAUAUGAAUCUCUCAAAGCACAAGUGAUGAGCAUCCAAAACAGCCCAAUGAGAAAGGUCAGUGGUUUCUUUUCUCAUACUGCUUUUAAGAGCAAAAUGACUCGAAAAAUAAAAAAACAUCAAUGAAGAGUUGACGUCUAUCAAUCAGUUAGCCAAAGACCUUGGUCUCCAAUCACUGAUAGUUCCGUCUCAGAAAAUAUUACCUAUUUGAGAAAUAGAUUCCUUAGUAGUUGCUUCGGAUGUCGUAGAGAUAACGAUGUUGCUGAAAUUAAGGAGAAGAUGUUGAACAUGAGAAAGGAAGUUGUUCUGUGCACCAUUCCCAUAGUGGGCAUGGGAGGUUUAGGGAAAACUAGUAUUUGCUAAGAGAAUUUUCAAUGAUGAAGAGAUAGAAAAACACUUUGAAAAGAGAGUUCGGAUGGGUCUACCUGAAAUGUCAGAGACUAAGAGCUUUCUUGAAUAGAUCCCCGAAACAUUGACAGAGAGGAAACUUGAGGUCUCUUGGUAUCACUUUUCUUCAGCCUCACAAGUUCCAACUGGAUUAUGCCAGAACAUAUACCAGAUCUUCUAAGUUGUUGGAUCAGGAGAGGGGUAGCAAGUCCCAGAAAAGAUGGCGGAGAGCAAUUCCUUUGUGUAUUUGGUGAACAAUAUGGAAGAAAAGAAAAGGGAGGUGUUUUGAGGGCAGGUCUAAUACUCUGCAAAAGAUUAAAUGGAAUUGCAUCGUAGAUUUUCACUUUUGGUGUAAACUAGCAAAUGUAGAAUAUGUUCAAUCGGUAGAUUUUUUAGGCUCUUUGUAAUUAGCCUUAGUUAAUAGUUAUAACUCGUUGUUGAUAACUUUUUGGAGGUCUCCAGCAUAUCCUUAAUGCUGAGGAAUACAAAUUACCAGUUUUCAAAAAAAUUGAUGAUAGGAGUGUUUAUUGCAUUCUCGUGAUUCUGAUUAAAUUCCACCUAGUUUCCCCCUUUCUUUUGUUGUAUUAAUGUCUGACCCUUCCUCUCUUCCAACCUGUACUAAAGAAGAAGAAACUCAAUAGUUGUUAUAUCUAUUCAGGUUGUAUCGUGAAGAUAAUAAAGGGUAUACAUGGGAGGUGCCCUUUUUCGAAUUCUGUUCAUGAGUUGCAGCUCAAAUAAAUUCUCACUGAUUAUUUUUAUGAAUUCAGUGGUGUUUUAAAUUUUUCAUAAGCAUCCCCUUUUCAUCUUUGGUGGUAACUAUUUUUGUUCACUAGCUUGAUGAAGGAUCUAAGGUGAUAGUUGGUGAAAAUGUAUUAUUCACUUGCUGUAAUAACAUGAUUUCUAAUCUCGGGGUGCUGGAACAUACAUGUUUCAAAUCGAUGAUGAGCAUGUUAUAGAUGCCACAAGGGCUGGAAGCAUUGCACAUUCAAUCAAUUGUUUUUUGAAGAACGUAAAAUCCUUCUUACCUAGUCCCUUUUCCUUUGAUGGUUUUUUUCUCUUUGGGUAAAUUGUUGUUUCCACAAUAGCACCUGCAUUACAUGAACAAAGAUGAUGUGAGGCUCAUUCUCUUGGGGUAAUGUGCUGUUUUGCGCCUGAAAACAGACUUGUGGAACUGGUCUUGUUGUUUGGAAUGGAAACUCAUCAGGCUUGUGUCUACGAGGACUGAGGAACUUGAUUUCUUAAGCAUUAUUCAAAAUCAUAAUGGAAAGUUUGCCGAAUUUUUUAGUAAUUUGGUAAUGUUUUCCUUUGUUGGUUCUAAACUGCCUUUUUUUCAACAAACAACUUCACUAUGUUAAUACAUAAUAGGUCUCAGACAAUAACAUGUAUUAGCAGGUAAUCAGAUUUAACUUUUUCAGAUUAACAUAACCCUCAUACUAUAAUUCUAUUCAGAGCGUCAGUAAUGAGAAGGGAAAUAGAUAAAUUAGCUAAACAGUUCUAAACUGCCCAAUAUAUGUCAACUAUUAAUUGGAAAGUGACUGCCAUUCAUUAGAAAUAAAAACAACACAGAACCACCACCCAAAAAUAUUUAUUUAAAGGAUGAUUAGCUAUUAUUCCACAAAAGAAUUCUUUAUUCAAAUUAUUGUCUAUGAAUUAUUCUCUUUCUUGUAGAGGCUGGCAAACAACUAUCAAAAGAAUACUUCUGCAAGAAAUUUGAGAAGAUUUUGGUGUAUAGAGGAAGAAAACAACUUUGUAAAGAGCAUUGCAAUGAUGGCCGAUCUUGUAAUUGGUGCUACUGUUAAAGUUGUGCUUGAUAAACUGCUUUCUCUCACUAUUGAGGAGGCUAAAAUUUUAAGGAACUACAAGAAAAAUCACAGAAUGCUGACAAAAUAUGUAUCCAUGAUCAAGAUCUCAUUCAUGAUGCUGAAAAACGACAAGUUGAUGAUCAGGCUGUUGAACAAUGGCUCAAGAUGCUUGAGAGAGCUGCUGAAGAUGCUGAAAACGUGUUUGAUGAAUUCAGAUAUGAAUCUCUCAAAGCACAUGUGAUGAACAUCCGAACCAAACUAAUGGAAAAGGUCAGCAACUUCUUUUCUCAUACUGCUUAUAAGUACAAAAUGUCUCGAAAAAUCAACAACAUCAAUGAAGAGUUGAGGGCUAUCAAUCAGUUAGCCAAUGACCUUGGUCUCAAAUCACUGAUGGUUCCUUCUCGGAAAAUACUUCCGAUUCGAGAAACAGAUUCCGUAGUUGUUGCUUCGGAUGUUGUUGGUAGAGACAAAGAUGUUGCUGAAAUAAAAGAGAAGAUUUUGAACAUGAGAAAUGAUGUUGUUCUGUGCACCAUUCCCAUAGUGGGUAUGGGGGGUUUAGGGAAAACAACUGUGGCUAAGAGAAUUUUCAAUGACCAACACAUCAAGCAGCAGUUCGAAAAGAGAGUUUGGUUGUGCCUACCUGAAAUGUCAGAAACUAAGAGCUUUCUUGAAUUGAUCCUCGAAUCACUGACAAAGAGGAAAGGUGAGGUCCAAAGCAGAGAUAUAAUAGUCAAGACGCUACAAGAUGCACUGGGACAAAAAAAGUAUUUGCUUGUCCUGGAUGAUUUGUGGUGUGUUGACUCUACAUCGUGGCAUGAGUUCAUGGACACCUUGAAAGGAAUCAAUACAUCCAGAGGAAUCUGCAUUCUCGUGACUACUCGUAUCAAACAAGUGGCAUCCACAAUAGCAGUAGAUCUUCAUAUGUUGGGGAAAUUAACAGACUAUCAUUGUUGGUCCAUUUUCAAACAAAGAGCGUUUGUUGGUGGGGAAGUUCUGGAGGAAAUACUGAGCAUGGAAAACAAGAUUGUUGAAAUGUGUCAAGGUCUACCGUUGGCUGCAAGUGUGUUGGGAGGCCUCUUAUUCAACAAGGAUAAACAUGACUGGCAAGCAAUUCUUGAUGGCAACCCCCUUGUUGUAGGGGAAGAUGAUCUUCGGGAAAAUAGCAUAAAGAAGAUCCUAAAACUAAGCUAUGAUUAUCUAUCAUCUCCACAUCUGAAGAAAUGUUUUGGUUACUUUGCAAUGUUUCCAAAAGAUUUUGAGUUUGAGAAGGACCAACUAAUCCAACUCUGGAUGGCUGAAGGGUUUCUUUGUCCAUGUCAAGAGACCACUGUGAUGGAAGACGUCGGGAACAAGUUUUUCCAACUCUUGUUGCAAUAUUCUUUGUCGCAAGAUGUUAAGCUAGAUGAGCUCAACAAUAUAACACUGUAAGAUGCAUGAUCUUGUGCAUGAUUUGGCUGGAGAUAUUUUAAAGUCUAAACUAUUUGAUCAAAAAAGUGUAGGAGGAGAAAAUCUUUCUCAAGUCCAAUACUUUGGAUGGGACUCACCAAGUGAUAAAAUAGAUAAGAUAAACAAGUCAGGACAUUUGUGCACAUUUUUCUGGAAAAGAAAUAUAUCUGAAGAUAUGUUGUUGAGCUUUCAGUUCUUGAGAGUUAUAAAUUUGUCCAGGUCAGGCAUUGAGGUAUUGUCAGCCAAAAUCGGCAAGCUAAUAUACUUGAGAUAUCUUGAUCUCUCCAGCACUGAGGUCAAAGACUUGCCCAACUCCGUUUGCAAGCUCUACAAUUUGCAAACAUUUAGAGCCAAUGGUUGUUCUUCACCGAGGAAGCUCCCAGAAGAAAUAGCAAAUAUGAUAAGUUUGAGACACAUACAUUACCAAUCUGAAAUUGAUUAUCAGUUUCAGAUGCCACUUAAUAUGGGGCAAUUGAUCAGUCUUCAGACGCUACAAUUUUUCUAUGUAGGUGUAGAGAAAGGUCGUCAAAUAGAAGAAUUAGGUCGUUUGAAAAACCUUAGAGGUGAAUUGACAAUCAAACGUCUACAAUUAGUCGGCAAUAAAGAAGAGGCUCAAACUGCAUAUUUACUGGAGAAACCAAAUAUCUACAAGCUGGUGUAUUUAUGGUCCCAUGAUGAAUCAGAAGGCUGUGAGAUCAAUGAUGAGCAUGUGUUGGAUGGUCUUCAACCACAUCCUAACUUGAAAACCUUUGUAGUGGAGAACUAUUGGGGGACUAUAUUUCCUCUUGGUUCAAUGAAGAAUUGAUGCCAAAUUUGGUCAUGUUGAAAUUAAGUGGUUGCAAGAGGUGCAAAGAUAAUCUAUCGCUUGGUCAACUGAAGUUCCUUCGGCAUCUUGAGCUGAUAGGAUUCCUUGAAUUGGAAUGCAUUGGACCUACAUUUUAUGGUGUUGAUAAUGGAUCAAGCAGCAAUAAUGGCAAAAUUCAAGUGUUCCCGUCAUUGAAAGAACUAGUAUUGAAGGAUAUGCAUAGCCUAAUAGAGUGGAAGGGAGAUGAAGUUGGAGUAAGAAAUGUUUCCUGGGCUUGAGAAGUUGACAAUUACAGAGUGUUCACUGUUAAAAAGUGCUCCAACUCAAUUGGAAACCCUGCGUGAAUUAGAAAUUGAAAGAGUUGACAGUGAAAUGCCAUUGUUGAACUUGUGCAGCAACUUAACAUGUCUUGUGGAUCUCGAUGUCAGUGAUGUGAAAGAGCUCACUUGUCUACCUGAUGAGAUGCUACGCAAGAACGUUUCUCUUCAACGCCUGUGGAUCUCAGAUUGCAGAAAGUUUUGUGAAUUGCCACAGAGCUUGUACAAUCUCCAUUCCCUUGAGAGCUUACGAAUAUCCUUCUGCCCCAAUUUUAGUUCUUUUCCUGUUCCCAGUGGAGAGAAUUAUUUAACUUCCCUCCGAAGGCUUCACUUACUUUAUUGUGAUGGAUUGACCAGUUUACCAAAUGGAAUGCUAGAACAAUGCCGGUCUCUAAAGAUUUUGAGGGUCAGCAACUGUAAGAACUUGGUUUCCUUCCCUUUACAUGUGUGGGAAGUACCUUCACUUUCCAUUUUGGAUAUGUCAAAUUGUCCCAAAUUGAUUAGUCUACCCACAGGAGGCCUUCACCAUCUCACUGGGUUAUGGGAUUUGAAAAUUGGUCCUUUCUCAGAGAUUGUGGAUUUUGAGGCAUUCCAAUUGAUUUUUAAUGGCAUUCAGCCGCUAUUGUCCCUUCAUACGUUGUGGGUGUACGGACAUGGGCACUGGGAUUCUCUUCCCUAUCAGCUUAUGCAACUCUCUUCCCUAAUUGAGAUCAGAUUAAGUGAUUUCGGUAUCGAUGAUCUUCCUCAUAGUCUUUGCAAUCUUACUUCUCUUGAAACAUUACAUCUAGUGGGGUGCAAACGGCUACAACAUGUGGACUUCAGAGAUGCCAUGCCCAAAUUACAUUAUCUUGAGAUCUGUGGUUGUCCAUUGUUAGAAGCUCUGUCGGAUGGGCUCAGCAACCCUGUUUGUUUGGAAAUGUUAAUUUUUUGGAACUGCGAAAUACUGGAGCGUCUGCCAUCCAGAGAUGUCAUGCGAAGCCUCACGAAAUUACAGUUCCUGAAAAUUAAAGACUGCCCACAGUUAGAAGAAAGUUGCACCAAUUGGAGUAGCCCAAACUCCCAGUGGUCCAACAUUUCCCAUAUUCCAAAAAUUAAAGUAGGUGGGAGGAUAUUCAGAACUUAACAAUUUCAAAUUUCAAAAUUCUAUUCCUGCUCAACACAAAUGAAGAACCCUAAUUUUUCCCUAUAAAUACUUACAUUUCAGAGCUUAUUUGGGAGGAUUUUUUUCAAAAUCUGGCAGCCCCUCACCUCUAAAAUUUUUAGUUAUUUCUCCUCUAAACCAUCUCUUCUAUUUUCGUAUUUUACCAUUUUCUUUGGCAUUCCAGUCGCAGCAAUAGUUUGUGUGUUCGUUUCGACCAUUAACGGUGGUCAUCAGAGUUAGUAAGUAGAUCUAAGAUCGAGACCGCAAGCCCCCGUUCACUACCCCGCAGCAGGUGAUCUUUGUCCCUUUACUUUUACUUCUAUUAUUGUCUCCGUGAAAAUGUUAUACCUAUUGUAAGAAAAACCAUGCGUCAAGUAUAAUACUCACUUAUUUUUAGCUAUCAUGAAAGUGAUGUUUAAAAAUUAUGUUUUUUUUUAUUUAGUUUGAGGCCUGGAGAGAUUUGAGUUCAUAUCUCCUUCACAUUUUAAUUUAAAGAAUGAUUUGUUUUGGAAGGGGUUGGUGAUAUGUAAUCUGUUUUUGGUUCAAAGUUUGGUAUUUAUUUGUAUCUCUAUGUGAUAAAUAGAUAUUGUUUUCGCUAUUCUUAUGUUUUAAGAUUAUUAUGUUGUGUUGAGAAUCAUGUCAUAGAUAUAUCUAUUUAUUUGUUUUAUAUGCAGAGAAAUUGAAUACAAACUUGCCGCAUUUAUUAGUAAUCUUGGUAUUUAGAAGCUGUGGCCUUAUUUAUGCUUAAACUCGCCAAUGAAUUUUAAAUUGAAUAAAAAGCAAAAUCCUUGUGCUAAAGUUUAUUGCUAUAUUUUUUUUAUUUUUUCUUUUUCUCAACAGUAUGUAUUAAAAUAUAUUUUGGAAAGAAAAGUUGCUUAUUGGAUUCAGAUUUGGUUCUAAUUUGACUUGUGAAUGCUACUUUUAUAAAUAUUAUAUAUAGUUCGAGCUUUAGUUUCUUCUUACAUUGUAUAUUUGAACCAAAAUGUGCUAUACAUUGUAACUCAAUAAUAUUACCUUAGAGACCUUUCUAUAAUUAACUAAAUAGGCCUUAGAUAUUAAAUAAAUAUAUUUGUUUAUAUAUUGUAUCCAGGUGAAGGUUUUGUUUCUUGUUUAAUAUGUUGUGAUGUGUUGUGAUGAUUGCUAUCCUUUAACGAGAAUGGUAUUGGUUUAAUUUAAAGGCUUUGAGAUAUUUAUUCACUGUAAGCAUGCUUGUAAAUAUUAGUUAAAGAAAUUUUAUUUUCUUCCUAUAGAAGAAUGUAUAAGUUAGUUGGGUGUUACAAUUUAUUUCAUACUUACUAUUAAGGUACUUGUGUUGGAAUUGAAUAAAUAGAAUGUAUAUUUGUUUCACCUAUUAGUUACCUGCAUGUCUAAUCCUUUUAUUUCUCUUAUUGUUGUACAUGUACACUUUGGGAGGAAAAAACGGAGUUUUGAUUAGGACUCUACCAAUUAUUGAGUCUCAUAGACUCAACAUUAUCCUCACACUUGCACAUGGAGUCUUCACUACAUCUUUUGACCAUUCGAAAUUGCAAGCAAAACAAGUGGUCCUAUCUUGGAGUCACUUAUGGCUACUUACAUUUUGCAUUAAUUGUUUACGUGUUUUUCUUUACGUGUUAUACUUGCUUGUGUGAUUUAGAUAUUUCUAGUUUGGAUUCAUGAUAAUUGACUUAAUAUAGAUGUUUGGAUUUGGGUUCCUUUAGUUAGAAACUAAACCUUAUUAGUUACUUUACCUUUUAUAAACUUCAUUUGGCAAACCUUUUUUAAAAAAUACUUCUUUUUGCACCAUUUUAAUCUCACUAGAUUUAUUAAGUUUGGUUCAAACUUGGCAAUGUCUUACAAAGAAAAUUUGUUGUUCUAAACUCUUAUUUUUCUAAAACUUUUUCUAACGGGAGCACCUUGUCAGUCAAUGAGCAAGUGUCUAUUUUUUUAAUUACUUAUUUUUAGCCAUGGAUUUUUAGCCACGGAUUUAAGAUUUUACUCUUUCUUAAAUCUUUUUCAUUCUAAUAAAUUGCAAAAGAGCUUUUAAAAUAAAAAAUGUUUUCCAACUUGGUUAUUCAAUCACUUAAUAUUUAGCACUCAUAUCUUUCUUUUAAAAUUAAUUAACCUAAGUUUGGUCGGUAAUCGUAUUUUUAACGAAUCUUAAAGGAUGCCUUACCCCCUUCCCUUUAGGAUAAUUAGAACCCUUACCUAGAAUCUUAAGUUUUAGUUUUACUUAGUUAAAUAUUUAGGUGUCCUAAUUCACCAUAAUUAAUUAGGUGGCGACUUCUUAAGUUAAUUAAUUUGGAAAUCACCAAUAUGUUGUACACGUUUUGACCUCGAGUUAAUGAGGUAUAGCACACACCCCCCUAAAGUUAGGUGUGGUGCAACAACGCCUAACUUGGAUAAACACCAAAAGAAGGCAGGCUUGGGUAGCGGCUUUGUGAGAGUGUCUGUAAUUUGAUCCCCGACCAUAACAAACUUAGGUUAAUAAUUAAGUUUUUAACAUCUGUUUGUUUCAUUUUUGUUGUGUGUUUUAAUGCCUAAAUGAUUUACUUAUCAUGCUUAUGUGAAUAUAAACUGCUUAUUUGUAGUAGCUUUAUAUAAAUUGUUUAUUUGUUACUGUUAUGAAACACCAAUAUUAUCACAAAAAAAUCUUGGCGUUUGCGAGACUUGAUAUCGUAAUUCAGUCAAUAGAUUGUGUACCCAAGUAAGUUCAGAGAGUGCAUUGGCUACCGAUUUGUAUUCUGCUUCAAUAGAGGACCGAGCAACUAAUUGUUGCUUUUUAGAGGACCAACAGAUCAGAUUUGGUCCCAAGAAGAGUAUGUAACCAGAUGUGGAUAUUCUGUCAGAGGGAUCACCUGCCCAAUCAGCAUCGGCGUACAUAUACAUAUUACUAUUAGAGUGGCUAGAGAUUUGUAGGCACGACGUUGAUGAUGCCUUGAGGUAUCGAAACACCUUUUUUACUGCUUUCCAAUGCUCCAGACUUGGGGAUUGCAUAAACUGUGAUAGUUUGUUAACUGCAAAGGCAAUAUCAGGACGCGUGAAUGAUAAGUAGUGCAAUUUACCAAUGGUGCGUUGAUACAAGGUUGUAUCGGCAUGAGGUGAACCAUCGGCUGCUUUGGGUGGUAAACUUGAGCACAUGGGUGUCGUAACUCCUUUACAGUUGGCCAUAUCCACAUCUCAAGUAUGUAUCUGGAUUGUGAAAAGACAAUCCCAUUUGGAACAUUUUGACUUCGAUCCCCAAAAGAUAGUUGAGUUCACCCAGGUUCUUUAGAGAGAACUUGUAAGCCAGAGAGUUGAUUACAUGUGUGACCAAGUUUGGGUAAUUCCCAGUAAUGAGGAUAUCAUCAACAUACAAUAGAAUAUACAUCGUGACAGCUUCAGAUGUAAAAAUAAACAGAGAAGCAUCUGAUUCAGACUUAACAAACCCAAUUUUAGUCAAGUGAAAUUUGAGAGCUUCAUACCAUGCACGAAGAGCUUGUUUUAGGCCAUAAAUGGCCUUUUGGAGAUGGCAGACAUGAUUGGGAAAAUCAGGGUUGACAUAGCCUUUCGGCUACGCCAUGAAUACUUGCUCCUGUAAGUUACCUUACAAAAAUGCAUUAUUUACGUCAAGCUGCUGCACUUUCCAAUUAUUUUGAACUGCAAUAGAAAGUACAAUUCUGAUGGUGGUUGGUUUGACAACCGGACUGAAAGUUUCAUGAAAGUCCAGUCCUGGACAUUGUGUGAAACCUUUUGCAACUAAUUGCGCCUUGUAGCUGUCAAUAGAACCAUCAUCUUUCCUUUUAAUGUGAAAUAACCACUUACAAUCAACAACAUUAUUUAUCGGGUCCCUAAGUACUAGUUCCCAAGUUUGGUUUUUCAUUAAGGCUUCAUAUUCCAGAUCCAUUGUAUUCUUCCAUUCAAUGUGCUUAACUGCUUGCUUAAAGGUAUUUGGAGUGGGAGAAAGGUAGGACAAGAAGCUGAAUUUUUUCUUUGGUGUGAAGAUAUUAUUUUUGGACCUUGUGACCACACCGGAUGGUGGAGGGACAGCAACUGGUGACAUAAUUGUUAGCUGUUGCGGUGGAUGUUGGUUGAUUGGUGGCCGACGGGAAUAAUAUAAUGGUUGAGAGGUGUUGUGGGCUGCUUCAUUAAAUAGUGAAUGAGGUUGGGAAGAGAUAAGAAUCAUACCUGAUGAAGUGGAGACUGCUGGUAGUUGCCUUUCAAUUAUGGACUCUGGAGUGUUUGAAUGAGAGGGAACUGUUAGGGUGAUAGGAAUAGGAGGCGGAAGAGUUGGAACAAGAUUGAAGUCCAAAUUUAAUUGGACUUCCGGAUGAGUAUCCUUACCGACUUGGGACUCUAUGAUUUCCCAUUAUAACGUGGAAAACAUAUUUUUCAAGUGUGAGAACAUUUGAGUGAAAGGAAAAAUAUCUUCACAAUAUUGAACAUCACGACUGACGAAAAUUUUUGAGUGCAUAGGAUUAAAGCAGAGGUGUGCAUGAUGAACAAUAGAAACUCCUAAGUAGACACACAGUGUAGAUCUAGGCUGAAAUUUAUUUUUUGUAUAUGGCUUAAGCCAUGGAUAACAUAGACAACAAAAAAUUUUCAGCGAAGAGUAUUUUGGCGGUUCGCCAAACAAUUUUUUAUAAGGAGAAUCAUUAUUCAAGUCAGGUGUAGGUAGUCUAUUUAUGAGAUAGACAGCAUGGUGACAGGCAAAUGACCAUAGUUUAGAUGAUAGUGAGGCUUCAUUGAGAAUAGUUCGAGUUGUUUUGACAAUGUGACGAUGUCGUCGUUCAGCAAUUGCAACUCAUUGGGGCGUGUAGGGUGGGGAGAUCAAAUGUUGAAUGCCAUGGCAUUGUAGGUACUGUUUAAGACUUGUGUAUUCAUCCCCUCCAUCAGUAUAAAGUGAGACAAUUUUGUGUUUGGAAAUUUUUUCCACUAAAGGAUGAAAGUUUGUAAAAAUUGAAGCGACUUCACUUUUGUUUUUGAUUGUAUACAACCAAGUGUAUUUGGUGUAAUGAUCAACAAAAAUGCAGUAAUACAACUUUUUAUCAAUGGAUAAAAUGGGUGAUGGACCCCAUAAAUCACUAAACAAAGUUUGAAGUGGUGCAUUACUAUUUAAAGUGAGUCGUUGAAAUGGCAAACGAUGAGCUUUAUUUGAUGAGCAUGAAUUACAAAAAUGAAACUUUUCUUUGGUGGAAAAGGGAAGUGAAAAUUUAUUCAGUACUAAGUCUAGGAUUUUCAGAUAACGGUGACCCAAGCGACGAUGCCACAAUUGACGAGAAACUUUGGUGGAGGUGAAGUUGGCGGAAGGUGACACAUGAUCCCUCUGUGGCCACUCAUAGAGUCCGUGUUUAUUCUAGCCUUGUACCAGCAGUCUCCGAGUUUUGAGAUCCUUCACAAGAAAUGAGUGUGGGAAAAAUUCGAUUGAGGUCAGAUUGUCAGUGCAAAACUUAGCAACAGAAAUAAGGUUCUUUUUGAUAGCUGGAGCACAAAGAGUGUUAGAGAGCAUGAAAUUGGAGUUAGAAGCCUUAAUUUGAGUAAAAUCAGUGUGAGUAAUAAGAAUAGUUUUACCGUCACCUAUGGACAUUUCCUCAUUGCCAGUGUAUUCUUCAAGAUUAUCUGACUCAAUUGUGACAUGAUGAGUUGCUCCAGAGUCGAUGAUCCAAGGAUUUGCAUUUGAGUGAUGAUUUGACACAAAGUUGACCUUAGCUUCAAAGUGGUUGUGCGAUUUUGAGCGACACACAUCAGCUGUGUGACCGAUCUUUUGGCAAAGUUGGCAUUUUACUGCUUGCCUGGGUAGUCUCCCAUUCUGUUGAUUUCCAGGGACCGCCUGUCGUGGAGCUUGUGGUCUUGAAGAUUGAUUUGGGAAGCGAUGAUUAUUUUUUGAUGUUGGGGCUGGAAGUUGGUCCUUUGUGCAACUGCAGCUGUAAUGAUAGAGGAUGACCUGUCAAUAUCUUGAUGUUUGAGAAAGAGUUCAUGGUCCGUGAGUUUCUGGAACAACUCCUCAAAGCUUAGGGCUGUUUCGCGCGCUCUUAUAGCGGCAGUGAUUUCACGGUACUCAUGACCUAGGCCACUCAAAAUCUUGACUGCUAGUUCAUCAUUAUCCACCGGAGAGCCCGUUACUUUGAAAGCAUUAGCAAUUGAUCUGAUCUCUUGUAGGUAAGUAGCAACUGUCUUGGAGGCCUUUUUCAUGUUUUGCAACUGAUCUCGUAAGCUGAAGAUGCGAGUGUGACUCCUAUUGGCAUAAGCUAUAUGAAGGAGAUCCCAAGCUAUUUUUGCCGAAGAGGCAGUUGCAACAAUAGGAGCAAUGGUGGGGUCAACGGAUGCCAUCAUUGCCUGUUGAAUUAGUUGGUCCUGGCAAAACCAUAGCUCAUAUUCAGGAUUGGAGAUGGUACUAUCAGUUUGUGUGAUAGUGGUUGGCGGAGCAGAUUGGCACCAGUGAGAUGCCCAAGGAGCUUGUGUCCAUUGAGUAGCAUCACUAGUUGCGCCUUCCAGGUGCUAAAGUUGAGGUUACCUUGCAGUUUGAUAGGUAAUUGGGCAGCUGGAUUGAACUGUACCACAUGAGUGGUAGUCGGAACUGCAGCAGCCCUAUCAUUGGUGGUAGCAGGAACAACCAUGUUUGGACGCAAAGAGAGGAAAAAAACUUUGGAUCGGACUCGUGAGAGAGGGGGUCUAAUACCAUAAGGAGAUUGAGAAUCAAAGCAAACUUGAAUGAAUCUUAUUCAAAUGUUACAUAACUUAAAUACAGGUAAGACGUAACUAACUUGACUAAUUCUAAGGAACUGUUCUAACAACUUAAUAUGUAACUAAGUUGACUAAAACUAAGGAACUACUUUAACAACUUAAUCUAAAUCUACUCUAACAACCUGAUAAGAAUUAAUAACAAACUAACAAACUAGUGAGUAUGUCAACAAUAACUUUUAUGAAUAGAUGACACACUUGUCGUUACUUUCACUUCACAGGACAAUUUCUCCGUUCAUUAAACUUUCGUCAUUGAUGGACUUCAACAGAGAUAGUUGUCAUGAAUCAUUUAGCAAAUAAUGCCCCAUUGGCUCUUAAAAUGUCCUUAGCAACAUCUGCUCAUCUUAGCAGGUCUUGCGUUCUCCUUUUUUUAGUGGUUACUUGUAAUGAUUUUCUUCUCCAUUCUCCCAAGGAGGAAACGUGUGCCAAAACUGACUUUUUACCAUUUCUGGAAUUAUUUCAGAUUCAUGUUUGAAACACGAGCAUGGACCUCGUCGAAAUGGUACUUGUGUUAGAUGUGUUACAGUUUCAUAAUUGGCAAGGGAAAUUGCAUUCGGUAAACUCGUUUGCAUUUGGCUGAAACUGGAUUUGAGAUAUUAUAUCCUUGAAUGUGGAAAAUCCCGGAAGUGAAACUAGUAGACCUUUGAUGUUGGUCUAAUUCUAAACUGAAUUAACUGGUAGUGUUGAAUAGCAUUCAAAGUAGAAAGAGCAACUUAUGCAAGUCACUUUGCUAGAUUUCUCAGCCAUGGUUGUAUGCUGUAGAACAACUUGUGUCUUGAGAUUUUUAUUUUAGUGGUCUCUCAGAAUUGCCUUGCACGUUUAUUCCAAAAUACCUAAUACAAAUUUUGUAUUGCAAAUGAUAAAUUUUCAAAGACACAUAUAUUGUUAGAUUUUUUUUAUGUUAUAAAAUAACAAUCAAAACAUACAAAAAAAUUACAACUUUUUCACAGCAUAAGUUUAUAUGUUUAUAUCUCUACUCUGCUUAUUCAACCAAGAUUUCCAUCUAAGGUAUGCCCAUUACACCAAAAUAACAACUUUUUCGCAGCAUGAGUUUAUAUGUAUCAUAGUAUACCUUAAGUUAUGGCAUAUGCCCCUGAUAUUGAAAUAACAAAUAACUUUCCCAUGAUACAAGUUUACAUGUUUGUAUCAUAAUAUUCCACAAGUUAUGUUGUAUGCUAAGAGCCGGGAGGGCAUAAUGCAAAAAAUAAAAUAAAAUAUAAACCCAAUUUUUUUCUCUAAAAAGGAUAAAGAAUGCAUAUGCCCCAAAAGCAUAACUCCAGUUUCUGAACACUACAACAAAUUUUAGAAAAAACUACACAACUUAUGUUGGAAUAUUUAAUUUAUACAGAACUUAUGCCAAGCGAAGCAAAAGUUAUUUAAACUUAUGCUGAGCGAAUUAGGUCUCGACAGAUAUAUUUUGGUCCCCCAAAUUUUCAUAAUUAAACACCAGUCUGUUUGAAGGGCAAUACGUGCAAAAACUUGAUUUGAAUGUGACUUCCUUUUUGGUAUCCUUAUUUUCUUGUGGCAGACUCAUAACAGACUGUCAUUCAUUAGAAAUAAAAACAACACACAAAUUAUUUAUUUAAAGGAUGAUUAGCUGUUAAUCCAAAAAAAACAUUCUUUAUUCAAAUUAUUCUCUUUCUUGUAGAGGCCGGCAAACAACUAGCAAAAGAAUACUUAUGCAAGAAAUUUGAGAAGAUUUGGUGUAUAGAGGAAGAAAACAACUUUGUAAAGAGCAUUGCAACGAUGGCCGAUCUUGUAAUUGGUGCUACUGUUAAAGUUGUGCUUGAUAAGCUGCUUUCUCUCACUAUUGAGGAGGCCAAGAGUUUAAGGAACUGCAAGAAAAAUCUAAGAAUGUUGACAAAAUAUGUAUCCAUGAUCCAAGCUCUCAUUCAUGAUGCUGAAAGAUGACAAGUUGAUGAUCAGGCUGUUGAACAAUGGCUCAAAAUGCUUGAGAGAGUUGCUGAAGACGCUGAAAACGUGUUUGACGAAUUCAGAUAUGAAUAUCUCAAAGCACAAGUGAUGAACAUCCGAACCAAACUAAUGGAAAAGGUCAGCAACUUCUUUUCUCAUACUGUUUUUAAGUACAAAAUGUCUGAAAAAAUCAACAACAUCAAUGAAGAGUUGAGGGCUAUCAAUCAGUUAGCCAAAGACCUUGGUCUCCAAUCACUGAUGGUUCCUUCUCGGAACAUAGUACCAAUUCGAGAAAUAGAUUCCGUAGUUGUUGCUUCGGAUGUUGUUGGUAGAGACAAAGAUAUUGCUGAAAUAAAGGAGAAGAUUUUGAACAUGAGAAAGGAAGUUGUUCUGUGCACCAUUCCCAUAGUGGGUAUGGGUGGUUUAGGGAAAACAACUAUGGCUAAGAGAAUUUUCAGUGACAAACACAUCAAGCAGCAGUUCGAAAAGAGAGUUUGGUUGUGCCUACCUGAAAUGUCAGAAUCUAAGAGCUUUCUUGAACAAAUCCUUGAAUCAUUGACAGAGAGGAAAGUUGAGGUUCAAAGGAGAGAUUUAAUAGUUAAGAAGCUACAAGAUGAAUUGGAAGGAAAAAAGUAUUUGCUUGUCCUAGAUGAUAUGUGGCGUGUUGACUCUACAUCGUGGCAUGAGUUCGUGGACACCUUGAAAGGAAUAAAUACAUCCAGAGGAAACUGCAUUCUUGUGACUACUCGUAUGAAGCAGGUGGCAUCCAUAGUAGCAGAAGAUCUUCAUAUGUUGAGAAGAUUAGCAAGAGAUCAUUGUUGGUCCAUUUUCAAACAAAGAGCGUUUGUCGGUGGGAGGUUCCGAAGGCGGAGGAAAUACUGAGCGUGGAGACCAAGAUUGUUGAAAUGUGUCAAGGUCUGCCGUUGGCUGCAAGUGUGUUGGGAGGCCUCUUAUGCAACAAGGAAAAACAUGAAUGGCAGGCAAUUCUUGAUGGAAACCACCUUGUUGCAGGUGAAGAUGAUAAAGGGGAAAAUAGCAUAAAGAAAAUCCUAAAACUCAGCUAUGAUUAUCUACCAUCUCCACAUCUGAAGAAAUGUUUUGCUUACUUUGCUAUGUUUCCAAAAGAUUUUGAGUUUGAGAAGGACCAACUAAUCCAACUCUGGAUGGCAGAAGGGUUUCUUCGUCCAUGUCAAGAGACCCCCGUGAUGGAAGACGUCGGGAACAAGUUUUUCCAACUCUUGUUGCAAUAUUCCUUGCUGCAAGAUGUUAAGAUAGAUGAGCUCAACAAUAUAACACAUUGUAAAAUGCAUGAUCUUGUGCAUGAUUUGGCUGAAGAUAUUUUAAAGUCUAAACUAUUUGAUCAAAAGAGUGUUAGAGGAGAAAAUCUUUCUCAAGUCCGAUACUUUGGAUGGAACUCACCAAGUGAUCAAAUGGAUAUGAUAAAUGAGCCAGGACGUUUGUGCACAUUGUUCUGGAAAAGAAAUCUAUCUGAAGAUAUGCUAUUGAACUUUCAGUUCUUGAGGGUUUUAAAUUGUCCAGGUCAGGCAUCAAGGAGUUAUCAGCCAAAAUCGGCAAGCUAAUAUACCUGAGGUAUCUUGAUCUCUCCGACACGCAGAUCGAAGCCUUGCCCAAUUCCAUUUGCAAGCUCUACAAUUUGCAAACAUUUAGAGUCAAUGACUAUUCUUCACUCAGGAAGCUUCCAGAAGAAAUGGCAAAUAUGAUAAGUUUGAGACACAUAUAUUGCAGCUAUCAUUACAAAUUUGAUAUGCAGAUACCACUUAAUAUGGGACAAUUGACUUGUGUUCAAACCCUAGAGUUUUUCAAGGUGGGUUCAGAGAAAGGUCGUCGAAUAGAAGAAUUAGGUCAUCUGAAAAACCUUAGAGGUGAAUUGACGAUCAGAGGUCUGCAAUCAGUCAGAACUAAAGAAGAGGCUCGAGCAGCAUAUUUACAGGAGAAACCAAAUAUCUACAAGCUGACAUAUUUGUGGUCCCAUGAUGAAUCAGAUGUAUGUUAGAUCAAUGAUGAACAUGUGUUGGAUGGUCUUCAACCGCAUCCUAACUUGAAAACCUUAGUAGUGGAGAACUAUUUGGGGACUAUAUUUCCUUCAUGGUUCAGUAAAGAAUUGCUACCGAAUUUGGUCAUGUUGAAAUUAAGUGGUUGCAAAAGGUGCAAAGAAAUUCCAUCGUUUGGCCAACUGAAGUUCCUUCGGUAUCUUGAGCUGAUAGGAUUCCUUGAAUUGGAAUGCAUCGGACCUACAUUUUAUGGUGUUGAGAUUAAUGGCAAUAUCCAAGUGUUCCUCUCAUUGAAAGAACUUGUAUUGGAGGAUAUGCGUAGCCUUAUUGAGUGGAAGGGAGAUGAAGUUGGAGAAAGACUGUUUCCCACGCUUGAGAAGUUGAGGAUUACAAAGUGUCCACUGUUAAAAAGUACUCCAACUCAAUUUGAAAUCCUGCGUGAAUUAAGAAUUGAAGGAGUUGACAGUGAAAUGCCAUUGUUGAACUUGUGGAGCAACUUGACAUCUCUUGUGAAUCUUUUUGUCAGUAACGUGAAAGAGCUCACUUGUCUACCAGAUGAGAUGCUACUGUUGAAAAGUGAUUCAUAUACUUGACCAAGUCUUCAGGAGUUUGUUAGUUAGUUUCCUUUAUCUUAGCAUGUUUAGAUAUUGUGGCAGAUUAGUAGCUAAUUAGUAGUUAGUGGUUUAGUGGACCUAGAUUUUAGUAUUUUCUGUUUUACAGUAAGCCUAUUUAUAGGCAGACUUGUUGCUUCCAUUAUAAAUUAGAAACAAAACUUUGCAGUAGCUUUUACUUCUGUUUUUUGCUAUAUUUUUCUGUUCACUUUCUCCUUUACUUCCUUUUUUCUUUCCAACAAAUCUGGUAUCAAGAGCAAGGUUCCUUUCUGGAAAGUGUGAGGAAAAAUGGCAGUAAAUGGUAUUUCAUCAUCUUCCCAACAACUCAUGCCAAUUUUUACUGGUGAAAAGUAUGAGUUUUGGAGUAUCAAAAUGAAAACUCUUUUCAAAUCACAAGGAGUUUGGGAUUUGGUUGAAGCAGGCUUCGUGGAGCAAUCAGACUCUGACGAAGAGACGGAAAAAUUGAAAGAGAUAAAAAAGAAGGAUGCGAAAGCACUAUUCCUGAUUCAACAAGCAGUCCACGAUACAAUUUUUUCAAGAAUUGCAGCAGCAACUACAUCUUCGCAGGCAUGGAAGAUUUUGAAGAAGGAAUUUCAAGGUUCAGCUAAGGUGAUUACGGUAAAAUUACAGACUUACCGUCGUGACUUUGAAACUCUUUCUAUGAAAAGUAAUGAAUCUGUUCAAACUUAUUUGUCUAGAGUUUCUUCUCUUGUUAAUCAAAUGAAGCCUUAUGGUGAAAUCAUAUCUGAAGAAACGGUUGUAGCAAAAGUUUUAAGGAGUCUUACUUCAAAGUUUGAACAUAUUGUUGUUGCGAUUGAGGAAUCUCAUGACUUAUCUGAGUAUACUUUUGAUGAACUAAUGAGUUCUUUGCAAGCUCAUGAAGAGAGGCUCCUAAGAUCGCAUGAAAAAAAUGAAGAGAAGGUAUUCCAGGUGAAGGGGGAGUCCAUUCAUCAGAAAGAUAAGCUAGAAAUCUUUGCAAAUCGUGGAAGAGGCAGAGGUGGUUUUCGAGGAAGAGGCCGUGGAAGAGGCCAAGGAAGAAAUCGAGAUAGAGGAGGAUCAAAUGAAGAGAAGCAGGCUAAGACGUUUCUGUGCAACUACUGCAGAAAAUCAGGUCAUAAAGAAGCUUAUUGUUGGCAAAAACAGAGGGAUGAGAAUAACCAAGCAAGCUUUGUAGAGGAAAAUGAUGAUGACAGUAAGUUGUUCAUGGCCCUUUAUUGUGAAAAAGAAACUCCUAACGAUUUUUGGUUCUUGGACAGUGGUUGUUCCAAUCAUAUGUCUGGAACAAGAUCAUUGUUCAAGGAGCUCGAUGAGUCAAAAAAAUCAGAUGUAAGGCUAGGAGACAACAAGAAGAUUCAGGUUGAAGGUAGAGGUACAGUUAGCAUUAUGACCAGCCAAGGUAAUGCUAAGAUUUUAGAAGAUGUGAUGUUUGUUCCUAGUCUAUCUCAUAAUUUGCUUAGCAUUGGACAACUAAUGAUUAGCGGAUACUCAAUUUUCUUUGACGAUGGUGUUUGCACUAUUAAAAAUAAGAAAAUCUGAGAAAAUCAUUGCUAAAAGUUCCAAUGGCUAACAAUAAAAUGUUUCCUCUAGACGUUUCAAUGGUUGAGAGGUGUGCUAUGGUAGCUAGUGGAGAUAAUGAAACUAGACUAUGGCAUUUACGUUAUGGGGUCAUUUAAACGUUAAUGGAUUGAAGUUAUUGAGUCAAAAGGAAAUGGUUUUUGGUUGCCAAAAGUUGAGAAUCUUGAUUUUUGUGAAAGUUGUGUUUAUGGGAAAUAAAGUAAAAAAUGUUUUCCUAUAAGCAAGUCUUGGAGAGCUUCUGUUUGUCUUGAGUUAGUACAUGCUGAUUUGUGUGGUCCUAUGAGUGUUGAGUCUUUAGGGGGAAGUCGAUACUUUCUGCUUUUUACUGAUGAUUAUAGUCGUAUGAGUUGGAUAUAUUUCUUGAAAUUUAAAUCUGAAACUUUUGACAAUUUCAAGAAAUUUAAAUCUUUUGUUGAGAGACAAAGUGGAUGUAGACUCAAAACACUUCGAACAGAUAGAGGUGGUGAGUUUAUGUCAAAAGAAUUCAGUUCCUUUUGUGAGGAAAAUGGAAUACACAGAGAACUCACAGCACCUUAUACACCAGAGCAAAAUGGUGUAGCAGAACGAAAGAACCGCACAGUUGUCGAGAUGGGCAGAAGCAUGAUGGAAGGUAGAGGUGUACUGAAGUGUUUUUGGGCUGAAGCUGUUGCCACUGCUGUCUAUUUGCUGAAUAUUUCUCCUACUAAGGCAGUGUUUAAUCAAACACCAUAUGAAGCUUGGAGAGGUAACAAGCCCAAGGUAAGCCACUUACGUGUCUUUGGUUGUAUAGCUUAUGCCUUGAUAAAUUCACAAGCUCGACGUAAGCUUGAUGAAAAAUGUGAAAAAUGUAUUUUUGUUGGAUAUAGCACACAAUCCAAGGCUUAUAAGUUAUAUAAUCCAGUGAGUGGUAAGAUUACGGUCAAUAGAAAUGUUGUGUUUAAUGAAGAUGCAAGUUGGAAUUUUAAUUCCACAAAUGAAAGUUCAAACAUUAAGUUGUUGCCUUCUGACGAUAUUAUUGAUCAAGAGUAUGUAGCUGAUCCUUUUUUGGCUGGUCCAUCGUCUACCUCAUCAAUUGCACCAACAACUUCUCCAAUAUUGGAAAAACCUUCCGCUGAGCCAAUUCCAUUAAAAAGAUCAACAAGAGAUAGGAAACAAAAUCCUAGAUAUGCUAACAAUACAUCUUGUACCUUUGCUUUACUUGUUUUAGAUCCUAUCCUCUUUGAAGAUGCUGAAAAAGAGGAUAAAUGGUGCAAGGCUAUGGAAGAAGAGUUGAUGGCUAUUCAAAAGAAUCAGACAUGGGACUUGGUAAAUUUGCCUGAAGGAAAGAAAGCUAUUGGGCUCAAAUGGGUGUUUAGAACCAACUAUCAUGCUGAUGGCAGCAUCUAAAAACAUAAGGCAAGGCUCGUCGCAAAAGGUUAUUCCCAGCAACAAGGUAUUGACUUUGAAGAAACUUUUUCUCCUGUUGCUCGCUUUGAAACUGUGAGAACUUUUUUAGCCUUGGCUGCUAAUUUAAGUUGGCCAGUUUACCAAUUCGAUGUUAAAUCUGCCUUUUUAAAUGGUGAUUUGGAAGAGAAAGUCUAUGUCUCACAACCUGAAGGUUUUGUAGUAAAUGGCAAAGAAGAUAAUGUCUAUAGGUUAAAAAAGGCACUUUAUGGCUUAAAGCAAGCGCCGCGGGCAUGGUACUUCAAGAUUGAUUCAUAUUUCCAUGAGAAUGGUUUUGAAAGGAGUAACAAUGAACCUACUCUUUAUGUAAAACGAGAAGGUAAAAAUGAUUUUUUGGUCGUAUGUCUUUACGUUGAUGAUAUGAUAUAUAUGGGUUCGAAUGAGUCUAUGAUCACUGAUUUUAAGGACUGCAUGAUGAAGAAUUUUGAGAUGUCUGAUUUGGGUCUACUACAUUAUUUUCUUGGUCUUGAGGUGAAACAGGGAAUCGAAGGCAUAUUUCUUUCACAAAGAAAAUAUGCGACAGAUCUUUUGAAAAAGUUUACUAUGGUAAAUUAUAAAGUUGCUGUUACGCCGAUGAAUAUUAAUGAAAAGUUGUGUCGUGAUGAUGGUUCUGAAAUGGCAAAUGCAACUUAUUUUAGAAGUCUGGUUGGUGGUUUGAAUUACUUGUCUCAUACAAGACCAGAUAUUGCUUUCUCUGUUGGCGUUAUAUCGAGAUUUAUGCACAAUCCAAGCAAGCUUUCACCUUGGAGCUGCAAAGAGAGUACUAAGAUAUAUUGCUGGGACAACAAAGCAAUGGAAAUUUGGUAUUCUAAGGUAACAAAUUUCACAUUAACUGGCUUUACUGAUAGUGACUACGCAGGCAGCAUUGAUGAUCGAAAGAGCACAUCUGGUUUCUUGUUUAAUCUUGGGUCUGGAGCAGUUUCAUGGAGUUCAAAGAAGCAGGAAGUGGUCGCUUUAUCAACUUCAGAGGCUGAAUAUAUUGCAGCAACCUCUGCAGCUUGUCAAGCAGUUUGGUUAAGGAGACUUGUUGCAGAUUUUAACCAGAAACCGACUGGUGCAACUGAGAUUUUUUGUGACAAUAUAUCUGCUAUUGCGAUGACGAAGAAGCCAGCAUUUCACAGCAGAACAAAGCACAUUGGUAUUCGCUAUCACUAUAUUAGAGGUCUUGUUUCUACAGGAGAAAUUACUUUGAAGUCUUGUGAUACAAAUGAGCAAGCAGCAGACAUCUUCACGAAGUCACUUCCGCAAGCAAAGCACGAGUUCUUCAAAGGUCAACUUGGAGUUUGCUGUUUUGAAUCAAGGGGGAGUGUUGAAAAGUGAUUCAUAUACUUGACCAAGUCUUCAGGAGUUUGUUAGUUAGUUUCCUUUAUCUUAGCAUGUUUAGAUAUUGUGGCAGAUUAGUAGCUAAUUAGUAGUUAGUGGUUUAGUGGACCUAGAUUUUAGUAUUUUCUGUUUUACAGUAAGCCUAUUUAUAGGCAGACUUGUUGCUUCCAUUAUCUAUCAGAAACAAAAUCCUUGCAGUAGCUUUUUACUUCUGUCUUUGCUCUAUUUUUCUGUUCACUUUCUCCUUUACUUCCUUUUUCUUUCCAACAGCUACGCAACAAUGUUUCUCUUCAACGCCUGUGUGUCUCAGAUUGCGGAGAGUUUCGUGAAUUGCCACAAAGCUUGUACAAUCUCCAUUCUCUUAAGAGAUUACAAAUAUCCAACUGCGCCAAUUUCAGUUCUUUUCCUGUUCCCUGUGGAGAGAACUACUUGACUUCCCUCCAAUUAUUUCAGUUAAGGUAUUGUGAUGGAUUGAUUAGUUUACCAAGUGGAAUGCUAGAGAAAUGCCGGUCUCUAUUGAUUUUGAUCGUCAAAAACUGUAACAACUUGGUUUCCUUGCCUUUACAUGUGUGGGAAAUGCCUUCACUUUGGCUGUUAGAUAUAUCAGAUUGUCCCAAAUUGAUUAGUGUACACGCAGGGGACCUUCACUGGCUCACUGGGUUACGGCAUUUGGAAAUUGGUCCUUUCUCAGAGAUGGUGGAUUUUGAGGCAUUCCAGUUGAUAUUUAAUGGCAUUCAGCAGCUGUUGUCCCUUCGUACAUUGAGGGUGUACGGACAUGGGCACUGGGAUUUUCUGUCCUAUCAGCUUAUGCAACUCUCUGCCCUAACAGAUAUCUAUAUAUUUGAUUUUGGAAUCGAGUCUCUUCCUCAUAGAUUUGACAACCUUACUUCUCUUGAAACAUUAUUGCUAGUGAGGUGCAAACGGCUACUGUUGACACCAAAUUUUGUCCCUCCUCUCUUCUAAUUUAUUUCGUUGAGCUUCUAAGUUGCUAAUAAGUCGAAUACUUUAUAAUUCGCUAUUAUUUUCCACUUAUCUCUAUUGCUAUCGUAAUUAUCUAUAUUACUUUUAUGAUUAUCAUCUUUGUAUUAUCCUUCUCGCUAUUUUAAAAUUAUAUAUUUUAUUUUCGACAUUACUAUUAUUACUUUAUUGUCGUCUUCUUUAAAAUAGAUUGUCGUUACUUUAUUUCAAGUUUCUUACUUACUAAUUUUUUUUUUACAUAAUAUAUAUUAUAUUUGUUAUAAGUUAGAAGCCCAAAAUGAUUUAACAAGAAGAUGGGAAAAGGCCAACAAAUCCAAAACCCAACAAUUGGAUUAUUUUGGUCCAAGAAACGUUUUAGUCAUUCAGCCCAUCUACCCAUUAAUCCAAAUAAUCAGUCAGCUCACAUAAUUUAUCAAUAAUCCAAAAAUACCCUUCACAACUUCAGCCCUAAUUCAAAAUUUCUCAGCAGCAGCCUUUCCAUUCCUCUUCUAGCGUAAAUACAUUUUUUUUCAUAGUCAUGGCAAAAUUUCUUCACCAUUUUUGUGCAAGUUCUGUACACCUACUUUAGCAUAUCAUCAAAAUGUGUAUAAGUCCAAUGCAUAGCAGAUCCGACUUCAGAAAAAGGCUCACUAUUUCGAGCAUAAAUCUGAAGUAUCAUGUGAAGGACACAUUCAUCCAAAUCUCAACGUUGGAUUUCAAACGACUCUCUUUGACCAUGAAUUCAAAAAUCAAAGAUGAAAUCCCGCCCAAAUGUAAACCGAAAUCUUAAAGCCUAUUCUAUAAAUACUUGCCUCUGUUAGCCUUUGAAGGGGGGCGUUUUUGGCUUUGAAAAGAGGAGUUUUCUGCUUACAAAAGAAAUCAAGAACAAGUUUAAGCAUUCUCAAGAACGCUCCUCUCUUAUAUUUGAAUAUCAUCUCACGAAAUAUUUUCUAUUCUAUUCUCUAUUUUUGCUUAAUUUUGUCGGAGGAACGAGAUUAGAUCUUUGAUCAACGACCAAGUUCACUGCUCCACAAAAGGUGAAAAUCUAAACUUAUUCUUAUUUAUUCGACAUCGACGAUUGUUUUGUUGUUAUAAGUCAUGCAUAAUGGAUAUAUCACUCUGUAAAUUUGAUUCAUUUCAAUUUGAACUGUUUACUGUAUAUUCCCAUAUGCUUGCAUAUCAGCCUAGAAAUCUCAACCUAUCACUGGGUGGUUAAGUUUAGUAUAAGAAAAUGCAUACAUUAGGAGUAGAUUUAUAUUUAGUUCAGUGCUACUAUCUGAAAACUCUCUCAACUAACAAAAGAUUUCCACUUUUACUAAAAGUCAUGUCUUAUUAAAUUUCACUUAACAUUCAUUAAUGUACACAUAUGUAUAAAUUAUGUCUGUUAAAAUGUAUUACUUAAGAUCCCUCUAUUGAAGUGGCUUUUCUAAUCAUGCACUAUGUCUUGUACUUUGAUACACAAGAAUAAUGCCAUACUUCUGUACAUGUUAGUCUUUUGUUUUAUAAAUCGAGUUCCGUAUAACUUGCUCUGUUUUUGUACUUUUAUUAACUAUUUGAGAAUCAUUUUUUUCUAACUUUCCCUCCUUGCUCUUUUCUCUGUUUUGCACGCACAUCGAAGCCGAAGAGUCCCCUAUGGGACUCAACGAUACCAUUAUUGCAUGGAGCUUGCAUAUCUUAUACAUGGAGUCGGCACGUCCUUAUUCUUUCCUGCUUCAUACUGUUCAGACCUCUAGUAACGGAGGAGAUCAUUUCCUUAUGUUAAAGUCGCACAUAACUACUAAUUUCCUCAUUUAUUUUAGCUUGUUUUAUUUGAUUGUAUUGAUGUGAUCAACAUUUUAUAUUUGUCUAUGUGUUAUGUGUUCCCUUAUAUGUAAUGACUAAUAGCUAGGCUUUAAUUGGAAUUCCCUUUGACCCUCAUACAGUAGCUAUGAACACUUGCUUUUAUCACAUAAAAUAGAGCCGUUAUUUCUUUAAAAAAAACAAAAAGGCUUAAGAAGCCAACUUUGUUAAGUUAGAAAUAUUCCUUAUUGAAAUUUUCUUGCAGUUACUAAUUUUGGUUUCAAAUACUUUUGUCAAAAUAACCACUAUAACGUUUUCUGCUCCAACUCCUUUUUUUGGGUUUACAUUUACAGAUUUUAUUAUAAAAUUUAUUCCUUAACUUGUAAGUUCUUGAAUUUAUUCGAAGCUUAAACUUUUCCCUCUAAAUUUAGUUAAGUUUACUAGAUCUUCUUUUACUACUUCUAAUACUUCAUUUUUUGAUAAAAUUCCUAUUUCUUAUUAAAUUCAAAUGGAUUCAAGUCAUCAUUAUUCAAUAAACUAAUUUAACUUUUUACAAAACUAUUUUACUUCCACACAUUUUCAACAAGACGAUUUUUCAUAAGAAAUGUUUUUCCGAGCAUUAAUUUUUAAGUUACUUGAGAUUUAGCAUUUAUACAUUUUUACAUCUUCAUGCUUAGCAUUUUAACUCUCCACCUUAGCCUAAUUAAUUAAUCAAGUUCGACCGGUUAACCAUUUUUAAUGGAUCUUAAAGGAUGCCUAACUCCUUCCCUUUAGAUUAGUUGAACCCUUACCUAGAAUCUUAAGUUUAGUAGACCUUAAAAUGAAGUUAACUUUAGAAAAUAACUUUAAUCAAUUUAGGUGUCCUAAUUCACCGUAAUAAUUAGGUGGCGACUUCUUAAAUUAGUCAAUUAACUUUAGAAAUCACCAAAAUGUUGUACACUAUUUUGACCCGGUUAAAAUGGGGUAUAACAGCUACGACAUGUGGACUUCUCAGCUGCCAUGUCCAAAUUACGCAUCUGGAGAUCCGUGAUUGUCCAUUAUUAGAAGCUCUGUCGGAUGGGCUCGGCAAACUUGCUUCUUUGGAAAAGUUAUGUUUAAGGAGCUGUGAAAAACUAGAACAUCUGCCAUCCAGAGAUGCCAUGCGACGCCUCACUAAAUUACGGAAUCUGGAAAUUGGAGGCUGCCCAAAGUUAAAAGAAAGUUGCACCAAUCGGAGUAUCCCAAAACUCCCAGUGGUCCAACAUUUCCCAUAUUCCAAAAAUUAAAGUAGGUGGGAGGAUGAUUCAGAACUUACGUAAGUCUCUGUUUCUCUUUCACUGUCUGAUCAGUCAAUUUUUUAAAUAUUAAUUUCCCUGUGUUCCAGAAAAGAAGUUCUGUAUGUGGUUUAACAUUUUUUUCUGCAAUUAUUUUGACAUUAAAAAAUGCAAAAUUAUUAUACAAUUGCAUUUGUGUUAUGCUUUCAGCAUUCUGCUUGUCCACUUGAACUGAAUUGUUCUUCUUCUAAUUCUUCAAGUAUGGUAUAUCUUGAUAUGAUUUAAUCAUGAGAUUUUUUGUUUUUUUUCCUUAUAGGUUACUAGUUUCAAGGCCAUGCUAGAACGUCGUUGUGGUAUUUGACUUGUUCUAACACAGAGAUAACUCUGGAAGCAUCAAUCAACUAUCUAUGAAAUUGUGUAAGUGUUAGAAUGUAAGCUGUUAGGAAGAGACUACAUUAGUUUCAGUCGAUUUGGUGUUUGUAUCAUAAUUUCCCUUAAGUUAUGAAGUAAAAGGAAUAAUAAGUUAUGUCGAGCGCCCCAUUAUACUGAAAUAACAAAAUAACUUUUUUUUCAUGACACAAUUUUACUGUUUAACAAGUUUGGUUUUUGAGUAUGCAUAUUUGCUCAUUUGCCCAAGUGAAACUAUUUUUCUAGUUUCUUUUCUGUUAUCUCUUUUGAUAAAAUAAAUAACCUUUUUUCCUGUAAUUAAGCUGUUUGGGAAGAGCCUACAUUAGUUUUAGGUGAUUUGAUGCUUUUCUCCAUAUAAUUCUUCUUCAUUUUUGUUUUGCCAGAGCUUCGAUCCAUAAUAUUGAUGCGAAAACCUAGGACUUGAAUGGAUCAACCAGUUUGAGGGCGAUCUGUCCGUUAGAUUGAAGGAUUCUCUGUUCAGCGGAAUGUCAUGAGAUCUGAUGUAGACCGAUGUCUUUUUGGACCGAAAUAAUGUCAUGAGACUUGUAUAGAUAGUAGAAGCUUCUCCAGUUUUUGUUGACUGUAGUAUUCAACAGUAUUCCUUUUUCCUUUUUAAUUUUCAGGGGACAGAUUGGAACAUUUUGUUAGAGAGGUCUAUAUAAGUUUCUUAAUAGACAUUCUCGUUACUUUCACUUUCAUUAAAACUCUCGCGAUUGAAGGACUUCAACAAAAAAAGUUACAAAAGACUGCUUUUUGUUGAAUCUUAUAGCAAAGAGUGCCCCAUUGGCUCUAAAAAUGUCCUUAGUAGCAUCUGUUCAUAUUUAUAGAUCUUGUAAUGAGCUGAUUCUCCAUUCUCAAAGAUCAAAAUGUGUGCGAAAACUGACUUUUACUGGCUCCUGUGUUUCGGAUUGAUGGUUGAAACAACGGCUUGGACUUCUUAUCUAAAUCGUAGACUGGAAAAGACUUGUAUGAGAUUUGACAGCAGAGGCCUUUCUGCACAAUGUUCAUAUGCUGUACCUGCCUUUCAUACAAACAAAAGUAAUAUAGGUUUAUGUCAUUUAAGUAACUCCUACUCUCUAGAAAAAAAAUUGAAACCUAAGUUUGAUUAAUCCAAAAAUAUAAUUUGGUUUACAAGAUCUAUCUUGUGUUUGUCUUAAUUGAUUGAUGUUCCAUGGUAGUAAAUAUUUCUUUGCAAAAUACUUCAUAUGCCAAAUAGAAAAUAAAAAAAUAAAAAAUGUGUAAGAGGAUUACAAGGUGGGAAAUUGAGCACGCUGGAGAAUUUUGUUGUGGGAAAACAUUGGAAAUCAUGGAGUUGUGCUUUUUGAAUAUUUCUCUAUCAAAACUUUGUUAAUUGAGGGGAAAGUUACCCAUUUAGUUGAGCAGAUAAAUAUAAUAGUAUCCACUAUUCAAAUAUGCAAUAAAGAUAUACGCUAUUUUGCAAGUAUAAGAAUAUACAAAGACUAGAGCAAAUAUAUAAAAUAUCUUUGAAUUUUGACUCAAGAUAGUCCUAUAUCUCUUAUAUGGACUUGUAAUAUACCACAUCAUAUCAUAUCACCAUUAUAUAUAUAUUAAAAGUGGGAAGCUCUUAACCUUAAAGUUGGAUUAUAUAUAAGUGGAAAGCUCUAAAGUAUAAAAUCAAAUUACCAUUUUACCCUUAAAACUUAUUUUUCAGAGCUAGAAAUUAAGGCUUGUUUUUGUUUUGUUAAUGUGCAGUGAACAGAAACAUCUAUGGUAAAUAAUAAUAAUAAUAUAUUUACUAUAAUAAUAUAGUUAAGUAUCUUUCAUUAUUUACCUGAUAUUAAUAUAUUCUUAUUAAACUUCAUCUAUUGAGCAAUUAUCAAUUAAGCUCAAUUAAUCUAAAGUUGAAAAGCCUGUUUUUUUCCGUUUUUUUUUACAAUAUAUAUAACAUUUAUUUUGAUGAUGAACAUUAAUUAGGAGGAAAAAGAAGAGACCAUUUUGUAAAAAUGAAUUUGGUUGCAGCUCUAUUUCAUCAUUCUUGCAACAUUCACUCAUAUGCUUUCUGAUUGUACUGAUUAUGAUUUAUGUAUUUCUUUUUCCAUUUAUAUUAUUACGAUUAAAGACUUAAGAAGGAUAUGUAUUGUGUAUGUUUUUUUUGGUAUGUUUUCUCUCUAUUAGAUUUUAAUAAAUUUAACUUUUUAUGAAUUUCUGAUUGUCGUACAUUUGUAUUUUUAUUUGGGAUCAAAUUAGCCAUUUGUGACUUUUGCAGAGUUUGCUAACUACUAACUAAAGUUCAAAAUUUAAAGUUGGUUGAUUAAAAGGAAUUAAUUUUUAACAUUAAUAUACGUCCUUCACUGGUGUUUCGUGCCACACUUUUAAAAAAUAUUUAUAAUUGUUGCAUUUUAUUGCUCAUUACAUACAUGUUUUCAUAAUUCAAAUAAAUCUAUAGAAAAUUACAUGGGACAAACGUGCAACUCGCGUGCCCAGAAACUAGUUUAUUUAUAAAAGGAACAUGAAGAUAUGUGUGAUUCAUCAAUGCGACGCUUUAGGAUGUUUCGAUAUCUUGUAUAUGAAUGAUGGUUUGCUCAUUUGGUAAAAUUACAUAAGAAUUGGAGAAAUUUGAUGCUUUUCACAACUGUUAGAUUUUUCAUGUUUACGAGGAAAAAUUAUAAUUUAAAAAAUCAAAAUUGCAUGUCCAUUUAGUCAAAUCUAUUUAGGGAUAUGCCAUCGCCGAGCUCAAAAUUGUAGUGAACCUGUGUUAUGUAUUAAUUGUAACAUUUUUUUUUACGUUCCUCUCCUAUUUGGGUUAUUUCAAUGUGUGACACGACAAAAAUGCUUGGUAGCCUAAGACCAUCUCCAACCCAUCUCUAUUUUACUCUCCAUUCUCUAUAUUUGGAGAGUAAAAUAGAGAAUGGGUUCUCCAACCACUCUCUAUUUCACUCUCUAUUCUUCAAUUAUAGAGAGGUGAAUAGUAGUUCUCCAAAUUUGGAGAACUACUAUUCACCUCUCUAUNNNNNNNNNNNNNNNNNNNNNNNNNNNNNNNNNNNNCCUCUCUAUUUUACUUUUUGAUUAUUAUAAUAUUAUUUCUAUUAUAUUACUAUCAUUUGUAAUUAUUUUCUAAUGUAACAUAACAUUUAAAAAUAUAUUAUCAACAAGUUACUACUUCCGCCAAAUUAAUAAUUUUUCUAUUUUAUUUUUUUAAAAGAAAUGGUCACUUUAAAUAUGUAAUUUAAAGUUAUUUUAAUAUUAUUUAUAUUAUAUAAGAUUAUUAAUUAUGUCUCUAAUAUUUGUAAUUAUUUUCUAAGUAAUAUAACAUCUAAAACAUUAUUGAUAAGUAUACUACUUCCAUCCCGAAUUAACAAUUUUUCUAAUUUAAUUUUUAAUUUUUUUUUUGUCAUUUAAAUAUGUAAUUUGGAUUAGAAUUAUUUUUCAUUAUGAAGUAUGCACAAAAAUUACAUGAUAAUUCAAACAAUCUACUUUUAUGUUAUAAUGAUAAAUUAUUAAACUACACUUUUUAAAGAGCAUGCAAAUAUUUGAUGCAAUAGUUCAAAAUGGAAUAGGGGAAGUAAAUUAGUACACGAAAUAAUUGGACACAAGAUGAAAUUGUUAAUUUAAAUAAGAUUUAGCUACACAUAAAAAAUAAGGAUAAAAAAUGCUUAUUUUGAACUCCGUAAUACAUUAAUAGAACAUUCAUGAGUAGGGGUGUGCAAACACCGAAUCAACCGAUAAAAGUGUUAUGGUUUAUUGUUAUUGGGUUAUUGGGUUAACGGUUUUUUAAUGGUUUUAUAAAAAAAAUUAUUGGGUUAUCGGUUCGGUAUUGGUUUUUAAUAUUGGGUUAUUGGGUAAACCGAUAACCCAUUAAGACUAGUAAUUUACUACUUUGUACAUAAAUAUUAUAUAUUAAUCUUAAUACCUUAGUAGUUACUACUAUCUUUGUCCUUUAGCCUUCAAUUCACACUUCACAAUGGAUUUGAGUUCACAAUUUCACAUUAUAAAAANNNNNNNNNNNNNNNNNNNNNNNNNNNNNNNNNNNNNNNNNNNNNNNNNNNNNNNNNNNNNNNNNNNNNNNNNNNNNNNNNNNNNNNNNNNNNNNNNNNNNNNNNNNNNNNNNNNNNNNNNNNNNNNNNNNNNNNNNNNNNNNNNNNNNNNNNNNAUAAAUUUUACGAUAAUACAAUAUUUAUGAUGCAAUUAUAUUUCAUCAAUGAGUUCAUUUUUAUUUGAAUUGUUCGUUAAUAUGUAUUAUAUAUAAUAUGUAUUGCAAUUUAUGUUAUUUAGAAAUUUAGAAUAAAAUAUAAUUUUAUAUUAAUGAAAAAUUUGAAAAAAAAAAAUUGUAUUACGUAAAAAUUAUAGAGUGAUUAUUUGCAAAAAGAAGAAAUGAUUUAUAUUAUGAAAUAAGAAAAUAAGAAUGAAAUAUAAAUAAUAAUAUAAUAUUGAGGAGAGAGAAAAAGAUUCCUUUUUAGAGAGUAAAAUAGAGAAUUGGAUUGGAGUUGAUUGUCUGAAAAAAUAGAGAACUCUAUAUUUGGAGAGUAAAAUAGAGGAUUGGGUUGGAGAUGCUCUAAAUGGUUGUUAAUCUUUUUCUUUGGCCUACUGUCAUCGGUCCGCCCUCCAUCAUUAAUGUCACACAUAUGAUAUGGAUUUCUUUUUGUUUUUAAAUAAAUGACUACAUCAUAGGUCUUUUUUUAAUAUAUUUUAUGGAAUAAGGCAUCAAAGACUAGAAUAAAGCUGAUGUCGUUUUUACUAAAGCAUCCAAUAGGAAUGAAGCACUAUCAUUAAUUAAUAAAGCACUAAUUGUUGUUUACCUACCAAUACCAUUAAUUAAUAAAUUAAUAAUGCAUUCAGAACUCAUAAUAUACACAUUCCAGUCUGUUUGUGCCAUUGCCAACUAUAAUUAUUGUUUGAUCUCCUCACCCAUCUCUAUGUACUAGACAACACCUUGUGCCAUAUAGUAUUUUGAUUUACAUCAAUCAGUUAACAAUCGAUUGAUCUACCAUUGAGCUAUUGAGAAAUAACAAGAGAUUCGAUAAGUUAAUAUUGAGGUAAGUUCCAUUGAUUCAUAAUUUAGUUUCAUACUUAAAGGAAAUCUUUAUCCUCUGAAUCUAUAUACUCCCCCUUCAUCAUUUGGUGAUUGUUUUUUCCUUUUAAUUUCCUAUAAUCCCUUCAUCUAACACCUGAAAAAUACAAUGAAGGAUACACAAACACAAGUCAUAAAGAAUAAAGCUAACAAAUAUUUUCAGUUCCACCAAGUCUACUACAGUCAAAUAAACGAAAGAAGGAAUUAAUGAAAAAGGAGAAAUAAAUUAUACAAGACACUAGUACAGUAGAUUGUACUAAUAUAUAAAACUUUUAGCUUUUGAAGUUUAGCUAGACCUAGAUAUUAUAUUUUUAUAAGGCAUCAUAGCCAGAUCUAUUUUCGUUUGCACUCCUGAUCCAUGCUCCAAUUGUGAAAAAGUUAGAUGAUUUUUUAAAAUUAUCAUAGAUUAGUCUCUAGAAUAGUUUAGUGUAGUAUCAUCAUAUCAUAUUAUCAUGUAUUAUAUCAUGUAGGCAUAAUACAUAAAUAUGCCCUUUAACAAUUGGCCUCAGCUCAUAUUUAUGUCUUUCAACUUUGAGUGUGCACAAGUAGACACUUAAACUUGCAUAAAAUUGAAUAAGUAAACACAUGCAUCCUACUGGCAAUUUAUGUCCUAUGUGGUGUCCUACGUGUAUUAUGCCACAUAAGACUCAUGUGUCUACUUAUUCAACUUUAUACAAGUUCAAGUGUCUACUUGUGCACACUCAAAGUUGGAGGGCAUAAAUGUAAAAUGAUGCCAAAUUAAGGGGCACAUUAUUAUUAUUAUUAUUAUUAAAAGUGGGAAGCUCCAAAGUGUAAAGUUGAAAUACCAUUUUACCCCUUUACUAAAUAUUUUUGGGAAAAUGCAUAAAUACCAACCAGCCUAUGCCCAAAAUCUCUGAGACACACCUAACCUUUACUAAGGUCCUAUUACCCCCCCCCCCCCAAACUUAUUUUAUAUAUAAUUUUCUACCCUUUUUCGACCUACGUGGCACUAUCUUGUGGGCCCAGUGCGUGUUGACAAUUUUUUCAAGGAUAGUGUCACGUAGGCUGAAAAGGAGUAGAAAACUAUAUAUAAAAUAAGUUCGGGGGGAGGGGGGUAGUAGGACCUUUGUAAAUGUUAGGUGUGUCUCAGGGAUUUUGGGCAUAGGUUGGGGGUACUUAUGCAUUUUCCCAAUAUUUUUUUAGAAAUCAUAUAUUAUAUAUUAUUAGUUAUUAUGUAUUAAAUAUUAUGUUAUCAUUUAUCAUUAUCAUUCAUUCAUAUUCAAUCAUCCUUAUCUAUAAAUGUUAAUUUAUUUUUUGUUAGAAUAAAGAAGACAAAUGAAGAGUUGUGGAAAUGAGUAGUUAUGAAAAGCUACAACAAAUAAGUAUAAUAAAAAGGUCUUUCGCGAGCUUGCAAUAAUGGGAUGUUAGAAAUUUACUUUUUUUAUGAAAUAGUAAAAUGCCUGUAGAAUUUGAAAAGUUAAUAUUUCAUUAAAAACAUAAUAAAAGAUUGCAUUCAUCUAUUUAAACAAUCAAUCCUUACUAUUAAAACAUAAAGAAUGUGAAGAGUUACAUUGAAUUAAAAAAAAGACCAUAAUCAUCUAUAAAAUCAAAUAUAUACGGAUCACUUUUAUAGAAAAAAAGGAGAGAAAAAAUCAUGAAUUUUAUGGAUUAAUGUUGGAGAAGAGAAUUUUGUUCUCAUUUUUUUUCUUGGAAAAAUCUGAUUCAUAUGUCCAUCUCAAAUUUGUUUGCUCUAAUAUAUUGCCAUGCAUAUUUUUAAUUUUGUUUGCUAACUAAUUUUUAUUUGUUUCUCCACAUUACAGAUUUAACUUUGUGCACUCUUCACUUCUCAAUCACUAAUAUCAGGUACUCAUUUUCUAACAAUUAUUAUUUUACAAAAAUAUAAUAUAAUUUAUAGGAAAAUGUAAUCUAUGUCUAAGAUUUAUGAGAAGUAUAAAGAUAUUAACGUUAUAUAUAUAUAUAAAUGAUUAUUAGUCCUUUGAACUUUUUAAUUUUUUUUUUUGAAUAUUUACACAUGGUGAUAGAUUCUUUUAUAUUUAUUACAUUAUAAUUAUAUUUGCAAAAGUUUACUAAAAUUAUUCUGUUAAAUUCACAUAUAUUAUAAUUUAUAAUCUUGAAUUAAACAUAGGAUGCAUGUAAGCAUUUGAAAACAUAAUGAUUAUGUUGUUCAUGUUCACAUUCAGACUAUUUGUUGUUGAAAUAUCAAAAGACAAAAAUAUGUCAUAUAUCAUAAAAAUUGCACAAGAAAAAGGAAGGACAAAUCAAUUCAAUUUAUUAUAUAUAGUUACUUUACUUUUAAAUUUUUAAUUAAUCAUUAUAUACAUGUUUAAUAUUAUCUAUAUUAAUUUAAAGGUUAGAUAGGUUGACAUUGAACAAAGGUGCAACACACGUUUUCAUAGACUAGUAUUACUAAAAGUGAGAAGCUCUAGAUACAAAAUUGAAUUUUCAUUUUACCCUUACACGAAAUAAAAAUAUUAUAAAAUAUUCAAUUUAUAAAAUAUUUAUUAAUCAAAAUAUUUUAAAGCCUUUUCACGUCAUAGAUUUAUUGCAACCUAAAGAGUGACGUGUUUAGUAAGUAAUACAUUGAUCCGUUAUUAAUUUAAUUAGUACGCAAUUAAUAAAUUUUUAAAGAAAUUAGAUAGCAAAGUCAUACUAUAAUAAUAUAAUAAUAAAAGUGGGAAGCUUCAAAUACAAAGUUGGAUUACCAUUUUACCCCUAGACUAAAUUAAAAUAUUAUAAAUAUUCAAUUAAUUAAAUGUUUAUUAAUCAAAAUAUUUUAAAGUCUUUUCACCUCCUAAAUUUAUUGCAAGCUAAAGAGUAAUGUGCAAACUGGUAAAUAUUUUUUUUUGUCAUAUUAAUAUUGCUUAAUGAAUCAGCCACAAUAAUCCCACUCCCACUCUGAGUGUAUAUAUAUAUAUAUAUAUAUAACUAAAGUAUAUAGAAGACAAGAGCAUUUUGAAUAUAAAAUGCCAUGUUAUUCUUAAAAAUUAUACAAUAUUUACUGCAUAAACAUUUUAGAACUAAAAGUAUAUUAGAAGACAAGAGCAUUUUGAAUAUAAAAUGCCAUGUUAUUCUUAAAAAUUAUACAAUAUUUACUGCAUAAACAUUUUGAACUAAAAGUAUAUAGAAGACAAGAGCAUUUUGAAUAUAAAAAUGCCAUGUUAUUCUUAAAAAAUUAUACAAUAUUUACUGCAUAAACAUUUUGAACUAAAAGUAUAUAGAAGACAAGAGCAUUUUGAAUAUAAAAAUGCCAUGUUAUUCUUAAAAAAUUAUACAAUAUUUACUGCAUAAACAUUUUCAAUAUUACAAUUUACAAUCUUAAAUAUAUUAGUGGUUCCAAUGUAUUAUAAGUAUUUAAUUAGUUUUUUGAAAAGAAAAAUUGUCAUCAAUAUUUUUUCUAAUAAAAACGAUAGUAAAAUGAUAAUAAAAAUCACACUUUAUAAUAAAAUAUUAUUAUUUUUAUCAAAUAAUAUAGUAACUUAUUUAAAUUGUCUUAAUUAACAAUACAAUAUCAUAUGCACCAAUGGUUAUUUUUACAUAAUGUCAAACAAAUAAAUUCGAAUUAAACACUUAAUUUGAUGAUAUUCUUUUCACAUUUAGAGUAGUAUAAACAUGAAAAAUAAAAUUAAAUUAUAUCUUAUUUUUAAGAUAAUAAAUAUUAUUUUUAAUUAUUUAUUUUUAAUACAUAUGAAAAAUAAAUUAACACAAAGAAAUAGAUAAUCUUUUUAUUUCACUUUAUUUGAAAAUCCGCAUUUGAUUAUGAAAAUUACAAAUAUAACUUAAAGUUGUAUUUGAAAUUUGAAAAACAUUCAAAACCUUGUUAAUACUUUAAGGGGCCGUUUGGUUACCGUAUAAGAUGCAUUUUUUUCUCAUAUAUAAAAAGUUGUAUCUGUUUUACUAUGUUUGGUAGAAAUUUUGUAUUAGGUAGAAAAACCAACAUGACUUACCAUGUUUGGUUGAUACGUUUCUCAAAAUUGUAUAAAAGUUAUUCUUGUAUUAAUUCUAUACAGUGUAUUGUUACAUUUUUUGUAAUCCUACAUAAUUGAUACCUACAUAACUUAUGAGGGAAUCUAUGUAUAAAUUAUACAUGAUAAAAGAUGGAAUAAGUUAUGAGGGUAUUAGUUAUACAUGUAUUAAAAAAACUACACAUUUAUCCCUAUUACCUUUUUAUAUUGAAAACUCUAGAUAAAACUUUACAUAACUAUUCUAUUUUCCUAGCUAUUUUUGUUUCUUAUUUCUUUUGUAUACGAACAAUUUUUUAUUUGUUUUCAUUUGAAAUCAAAAUAUAAAUAUUUUAUUAAUAUUAUGAAUCGGAAUGUAUAAUUUUGACAACGCAUAUGCUAAUCAUAUAUUAUCACCAUAUAUUACUAAAUAUAUUCCACAUAUUUAAUUAUUAUGUAUUGUUUUUUUAUUUGGAAUAUAAAUUUAUAUAUAACUCAUAUAUUUGGUAUACUAAAAAUGUACAAAUAAUACAUGCAGCAUCUUGAUAGAAAUUUACAUUAUAUAAAAUAGGAUUUUAUAAUGUACUUGAAAUAUAUUUGUGGUAUUUUAUUUUUAUAAGCUUUAAACAUUAAAAAAAAAUAGAGAGAGAAAAAAUAAAUAGAAUUCCCACUUAAGUAUAGAGAAGAUUUUUUGGAAGUUUUUUUUUUUUUUUUUUUUUUGGGAAAUUAUACGAUUUGCUUGCUUAUUUAUUUGUAAAUAAUAUAUUCAAUAAUUAAUAAUUUAUGUAUUGUAAUCUCUACAUAAUUAAGUAAUACCUACAUAACUAAUAUUUGCAUAACUAACACCAACAUAAUUAAUACCACAUAACUAAAUCCUGCAUAACUAAAUCAUGCAUUACUAAAAACUGCGUAACUCUAACCAAUAACCAAACAGCCCCUAACUAUAUUAUCCUUUUUAAAAUUUUAUCACAAAUUCUUUAUUCUUAUAAAAAUGACCCCAUUUGAAUUAUAUUUCAUAUUAGUUUAUUUAUUUAAAAAAAAAAACACAUUCAAAUAAUCAAAUAUAAUUUGCAAAAUCAAUAGCUUGACACAAGUUCAACUUCAAAAAAUUUAAAUAAAGUGAUUUUUUUUUUGUUAUAGUAUGUGGUAGUUCUUAUAUGAGAUCUAAUCUAUGACAUUAUACAACUAUCUAUUUUGAGAUAUUACUUUUUUUUAGUGCAAUUUGGUUGUACGUCUCAGGUAUAUUAGUCAAGUAAUUUUUAGAAACUGAGGAAUAUAAACCAUAUUUAGAAAAACAUAAUAUAUAAAUAUAUCUUUUAACUUGGCUUCGUCUGACAUCUAUGACAUUCAACUUAGGGAGUGCACAAGUAAGCACUUAAAAUUUUAUAAAGUUGAAGAAGUAGACACACGCGUCCUACGGGGAAUAACACACGUGGGAGCCACAUAAAAUAUCGCAUAGGACGUGAAUUAUAUUGUCACGUAGGACACAAGUGUCAACUUGUUCAAUUCUAUACAAGUUUAUGUGUCUACUUAUGGAUAUCUAAAAUUGAAGGACAUGUUAGAUGAAACAAAUUAAAUGACAUAUUUAUAUAUUAUGCCUUUAGAAAAAGUAUAUUUAAAUUCUAAAUAUUUUUUUGCAUAAAAUUUAACCAAACAUGACUUCAACUAUAAAUUUUUUAAAUAAAAUAAACAGUAUUUUUUCAUGAUCAAACCACACUAAGAAAGGAAAUGAUUAAAUGCCCUCAAAUUUGAAUUUUUGGUAUGAAAAAAUCUCAUUAAAAACUAUACAUUCAAAAAUAAAAAAGAAUUUUUUUUAAAAUGUAUCAGCUUGAAUGUACAUGGUUUUGAAGUAAAUCAAUAAAUGGGGUCCAUGUAACUUUGCAAUGAUUUCUUUUACUCCUCCCAAUGUAUUGGUACACGUGUGCCCAUUAAAAUCCACAACUAUUGACUUAGUGAUGGAUUCAUUGGGAAUUACAUAAAUUUUGGUUGGUUUUUCUGAAAAUUUUAAUACUUUAUGCACAAUGUACACUUAAACUAAGCUUGAAAUAUUUUUUGUUUGACAAAACUACCCUUGGUCGUCCAGGGCUUCACAUUUCUAUAUAAUAGAUAGAAAAAUAUAUACAUGUCAUGCUUCUUUUUUCCUUCCACAUAUUCCUCAUUUGCAUGUUAAUUUUUUUAGUUAUUAUUGAAGAUUUUUGUUUGUGCUUAUGAGUUUCAUGUUAUAUUCUUCUUUUCGGAAAAGGGCCUAAAAUACCCUCAAACUAUUGGAAAUGGUAUAAAAUUACCCUCCAUCCACCUAUUGGCUUCCAAAUUAUUUUCUUUUCCUAGUUAAGUUUGAUACUAAAAAUAAAAUUCAUAAAAUAAAUUCAUUUUCUCAUUAAGUUGUAUUAAUUUAAUAGGAUAGUGACUUAAAAUUUUAUUUUUUAGAGGUCAAUCGAAAAACAUGUAAGAAAUUGAAUUAUUUUUUAUUGAACCAUUUUCAUUUACUAUCUUGAAUAUUUUAGUAGCUUUAAAUAAAUUAUCUUAAUAAAUAACGUUCUAUCACUCUUAUAACAUGUAAAAAUUAAAAUUGAAUUUAAACCCACAUAAAAUCACAUAUACCUGCAACCCGUCCCGCAUUAGUUUUAAAAAAACCCACUUCAAUCCGCCCCGCACAACCUUAAACUGGCCAUGCAUAGCUUUAAACCCACUCCACCCCACAUGCGUCCCGCCCCAUUGUCAUCCCUAUUGAUAUCUAUCUAUUGGCUCUCAAAUACCCUUCCAUCCACCUUUGAGUCCAAUAUUGACCACUUUUAUAGUGGAUUAUCAUUUAAAAAUAAUUUUUUUAAAUGAGUGGCGACCAUCUAUUGGUUAUAAUUUAAUAACUUAAAUUAAUUUACAAACUCACUCAUUACUAAUUAUACCCGACCCAAAUUGACUACACUCAACUCAAGUUAACUAUACCCGCCCCAAAUUACAUUUACCCCACCGAUUUAAACAAAUACACCCUUCAUUCCCAACAAUUCAUGUCCUCUUCCAACCUUACAUUCCCAAUAUAUUUGCUUACAAUCUCGAAAAACUCUACCCAAGUACACUCAUGUAUCACCACAAAAAAUCAUGAGUGUUUUGGUGAUUUUUUUAUGGUGAUACAUGUGUGUAUUUAGGUAGUGUUUUUCGAGAUUGUAGGCGGAUAUAUUCGGGAAGAAGAUUGGAAGAUGAAGUGAAAUGUUGAGAAUGAACGGUGUAUUUGUUUUAAUCGGUGGGGUAAAUGUAAUUUGGGACGAGUGUAAUUAAUUAAUUUGGGUCGGGUGUAAUUAAUAAUGGGUGAGUUUGUAAAUUAAUUUAAGUAAUUUAACUGUAUCCAAUAGAUAAUCGUGUCGUUUUGAAGUUUUUAUUUAAAUGAUAAUCCGUAAUAAAAGUAGUUGAUAUUGGAUCCAAAGAUGGAUGACAUGGGUAUUUGGGAGCCAAUAAAUGGAUGAAGGGUAGUUUUGUACCAUUUUCAAUAGUUCAAGGGUAUUUUAGGCCCUUUUCCGUUUUCUUUUUUAUACUCUAUAAUAAUUAUUAUACAAUCAAUUUUUUUAGUGGAAGAAGACUUUGGUGUAGAGGAAGAAGGAGCAAAAAUAACAAUGGCCGAUCCAGUAAUUGGUGCUACUGUUCAAGUUGUGCUUGAGAAGCUGCUUUCUCUCACUAUUGCGGAGGCCAAAACUUUAAGGAACUGCAAGAAAAAUCUCAGAAUGCUCACAAAAUAUGUAUCCAUCAUCCAAGCUUUCAUUCAUGAUGCUGAAAGACGACAAGUCGAAGAUCAGGCUGUGGAAGAAUGGCUUAAGAUGCUUGAGAGAAUUGCUGAAGAUGCUGAAAAUGUGUUUGACAAAUUCACAUAUGAAUCUCUCAAAGCACAAGUGAUGAAAAACCGAGCCAAACUGAUGGAAAAAGUCCGUAGCUUCUUUUCUAAUAAUGUUUUCAAUUACAAAAUGUCUCGAAAAAUCAACAACAUCAAUGAAGAGUUGAGGGCUAUCAAUCAGUUAGCCAAUGACCUCGGUCUCCAAGCACUGACUGUUCCUUCUCACAAAAUACUACAAAUCCGAGAAACAGACUCCGUAGUAGUUGCUUCGGAUGUUGUUGGUAGAGACAAAGAUGUUGCUGAAAUAAAGGAGAAGAUUUUGAAUAUCAGAGAGGAAGUUGUUCUGUGCACCAUUCCCAUAGUGGGUAUGGGGGGGUUAGGGAAAACUACAGUGACCAAGAGAAUUUUCAAUGAUGAUCACAUCAAGCAGCACUUCGAAAAGAGAGCUUGGUUGUGCCUACCUGAAAUGUCAGAAAUUAAGAGCUUUCUUGAACUGAUCCUCGAAUCAUUGACACAGAGGAAAGUUGAGGUCCAGAGCAGAGAUAUAAUAGUCAAGAGACUACAAGAUGAAUUAGGAGGAAAAAAGUAUUUGCUGGUCCUGGAUGAUUUAUGGCGUGUUGACUCUACAUUGUGGCACGAUUUCGUGGACACCUUGAGGGGAAUAAAUACAUCCAGAGGAAACUGCAUUCUCGUGACUACUCGUAUGAAGCAGGUUGCCUCCAUAGUAGCAGCAGAUCUUCAUAUGUUGGGGAAAUUAACAGAUGAUCAUUGUUGGUCCAUUUUCAAACAUAAAGCAUUUGUUGAUGGGGAAGUUCCAAAAGAAAUGGUGAGCAUGGAAAAGAGGAUUGUUGAAAUAUGUCAAGGUCUACCGUUGGCUGCAAGUGUAUUGGGAGGCCUUUUAUGCAACAAGAAAAGACAUGAAUGGCAGGCAAUUCUUGAUGGCAAUCCCCUUGUAGGUGAAGAUGAUAAUGGGGAAAAUAGGACAAUGAAAAUCCUAAAACUCAGCUAUGAUUAUCUACCAUCCCCACAUCUGAAGAAAUGUUUUGCUUACUUUGCAAUGUUUCCAAAAGAUUUUAAGUUUAAAAAGGACCAACUAAUCCAACUCUGGAUGGCAGAAGGCUUUCUUCGUCCAUGUCAAGAGACCCCUGUGAUGGAAGACGUUGGGAACAAGUUUUUCCAACUCUUGUUGCAAUAUUCCUUGCUGCAAGAUGUUGAGCUAGAUGACCUCAAUAUUAUAAGACGUUGUAAGAUGCAUGAUCUUGUGCAUGAUUUGGCUGGAGAUGUCUUAAAAUCUAAACUAUUUGAUCCGAAGUGCGUUGUAGGAGAAAAACUUUCUCAAGUUCGAUACUUUGGAUGGGACUCACCAAGUGAUCAAAUAGAUAAGAUAUAUGAGCCAGGACAUUUGUGCACAUUGUUCUGGAAAACAAAUAUAUCUGAAGAUAUGCUGUUGAACUUUCAGUUCUUGAGGGUUUUAAAUUUGUCCAGGUCAGGCAUCAAGAAGGUGUCAGCCAAAAUCGGCAAGCUUAUAUACUUGAGAUAUCUUGAUCUCUCCGACACCAUGAUCAAAGUCUUACCCAAUUCCAUUUGCAAGCUCUACAAUUUACAGACAUUUAGUGUCCAUAAUUGUUCUUCACUCAUGAAGCUUCCAAAAGGAAUGGCAAAUAUGAUAAGUUUGAGACACAUAUGUUGCGGCCAUCAUUACCAAUCAGCUUUUUGUUUUGGUGGUUGCGGAUCAAGGUACCAAGGUAGUGAUCAGUUUCAGAUGCCACUUAAUAUGGGGCAAUUGACUAGUCUUCAAACACUAGAGUUUUUCAACGUAGGUUUAGAGAAAGGUCGUCAAAUAAAAGAAUUAGGUCGUUUGAAAAACCUUAGAGGUGCAUUGAUAAUCGGCUGUCUCCAAUUAGUCGGAAAUAAAGAAGACGCUCGAACAGCAUAUUUACAGGAGAAACCAAAUAUCUACAGGCUGGCAUAUUUGUGGUCCCAUGAUGAAUCAGAAGGCAGUGAGAUCAAUGAUGAACAUGUGUUGGAUGGUCUUCAACCGCAUCCUAACUUGAAAACCUUAGUAGUUGAGAACUAUUUGGGGACUAUAUUACCUUCAUGGUUCAGUGAAGAAUUGCUGCCAAAUUUGGUCAAGUUGAAAUUAAGUGAUUGCAAAAGGUGCAAAGAAAUUCCAUCCCUUGGACAACUGAAGUUCCUUCGGAAUCUUGAACUGACAGGAUUCCUUGAAUUGGAAUGCAUCGGACCUACAUUUUACGGUGUUGAUGUUAAUGAUAAUAGAUCAAGCAGCAAUAAUGGCAAUAUCCAAGUGUUCCCGUCAUUGAAAGAACUACUGUUGAAGGAUAUGCGUAGCCUUAUUGAGUGGAAGGGAGAUGAAGUUGGAGUAAGAAUGUUUCCUGGGCUUGAGAAGUUGACGAUUACAGACUGUUCACUGUUAAAAAGUACUCCUACUCAAUUUGAAAUCCUGCGUGAAUUAAGAAUUGAAGGAGUUGACAGUGAAAUGCCAUUGUUGAACUUGUGCAGCAACUUGACAUCUCUUGUGAAGCUUGAUGUUUCUAAAGUGAAAGAGCUCACUUGUCUUCCAGAUGAGAUGCUACGCACUAACGAUUCUCUUCAACACCUGUGGGUCACAAACUGCGGAAAGUUUCAUGAAUUGCCACAAAGCUUGUACAAUCUCCAUUCUCUUAAGAGAUUACAAAUACGCAGCUGCAAAAAUUUCAGUUCUUUUCCUGUUCCCAAUGGAGAGAAUUAUUUGACUUCCCUCCAAUGUCUUCAGUUAGUUUCUUGUGAUGGAUUGACCAGUUUACCAAGUGGAAUGCUAGACAAUUGCCGGUCUCUACAAAAUUUGAGGGUCAGCUACUGUAACAACGUAGUUUCCUUGCCUUUACAUGUGUGGGAAAUGCCUUCACUUUCAGAUUUGAAUAUAUCACGUUGUCCCAAAUUGAUUAGUGUACCCACAGGGGGCCUACACCGCCUCACCGGAUUAGGGAGAUUGGGAAUUGGUCCUUUCUCAGAGAUGGUGGAUUUUGAGGCAUUCCAAUUGAUUUUUAAUGACAUUCAGCAGCUGUUGUCCCUUCCUACAUUGUUUGUGUACGGACGUUUGCACUGGGAUUCUCUGCCCAAUCAGCUUAUGCAACUCUCUGCCCUAAAAGAGAUCUAUAUAUUUGAUUUUGGAAUCGAGGUUCUUCCGCAUAGUCUUUGCAAUCUUACUUCUCUUGAAAGAUUACAUCUAGAGAUGUGCAAUCGGCUACAACAUGUGGACUUCUUAGAUUCCAUCCCAAAAUUACGGGAUCUCUGGAUCCAAGAUUGUCCAUUGUUAGAAGUUCUGUCGGAUGGGCUCGGCAACCUUGGCUCUUUGGAAAAAGUAAGUUUGAUGGUGUGCAAGAAACUAGAGCGUCUGCCAUCCAGAGAUGUCAUGCAACGCCUCACCAAAUUAAGGAUCCUGGAUAUUUAUGACUGCCCACAGUUAGAAGAAAGUUGCACCAAUAGGAGAAGCCCAAACUCCCAGUGGUCCAACAUUUCCCAUAUUCCAAAAAUUAUAGUAGGUCUGUGGGUAAUUCAGGAGUCAGGACAGUAAGUCUCUGUUACUCUUUCAGUUUCUGAGUUUUAAUACUACUUUUUUUACUGCUAUCAAUUACAUCUGUGCUAUGCUUCCAGCAUUUUGCUUGUCAACUUGAACCGAAUUGUUCUUCUUCUAAUUCUUCAAGUAUGUCAUAUCUCCAUAUGAUUUAAUCAUGAAUGAAAAAUUAUGGAUUUUUUCCUUAUAGGUUACUAGCUCCAAGGUAACGUUGCUGUGGUAAAUCAAGCCAAAUCCUAUGAGCAGCAGGCAAUUACUUUAGGUAAAUUUUCAUUUAGGUAAUCUACUAGUUUUUUGUCUUUCUCUUUGUUGGGGACCAAUUUUUGGAGUUCUAUGCUGAUGAAUACAACAUUACCUUCCUAAAAAAGAUGUUUUAAUCAUGAAAAUUUAUGUUUCUGCUCAGAGGUUACUAGGUACAAGGUCAUGGUAGAACGUGGUUGUGGUAUAUCAAGUCAAAAUCCAUGAACAGCAAUCGCCUUAGGUAUUUUUAUUUAGUUGUUAUAGGAAUGCUAUAACAAGUUUGUCAAGUUCCUUUUUUCUCAUGAUACUACUUUACUGUUUAACAGGAUUUGUUAUGUUUCAUAGAGGAAUCACCACUGUUAUUUUGAAGAACACAAUCUUCAGCUAUAGACUCAUUACGGAGCACUUUUUCACAAGUAUUUGGGUACUGAACAACCUUUUCGGGAACUGAAGUCUACAUAUGAAACAUCAAAAAACUCAAAGUGUAUAGGGUCCUCAAUGAGAAGCUACACUGGUCUAUCCUCUGUCUUUGCAUGGCCGUGUUUGUCUUUUUAUUAUCCAUGUAAGUUUCUGCAAUGUUAUUUGAUGAAUAAAUUCUGAUAUCUACUCUCAUUGGGACAUUGGUAUUUAACUUUCUAUGUAAUUGUGGAACUAUUAGAAUGUAAGCUGUUUUAUCCCUUUUGCCAGAGCUUCAUUCUUCAUAA
Molecule: long non-coding RNA, 74526 nt
Filed under: Solanum tuberosum (potato)
Lineage: Eukaryota; Viridiplantae; Streptophyta; Magnoliopsida; Solanales; Solanaceae
Description: long non-coding RNA (STUB_LNC010228)
Source: RNAcentral